CCUGGAUUCCCCUCUGGCAGAGAUUUAAAGCAACAGCAUAGGCAACCUUAGAGAGAUUGCCUCUAUGAAGCACUUGUGUUGUUCCUUUAGGUAUGCUAUUCAGCACUGCAGCAACGGCUAGACUGCUUCCAUCCACCACCUUCGUUUUGAGCCUGGGAUGCCUUUGCACAUAAAGUUCACCAUACCUAUUAAGCUCCUCUCCCUGCAUAAUUUAUGUUUGAACAUGAUGAAGAUAUAAUUAAUAAUUUAUGGUAUCCAUGAAAUAUGGGAAAUUGAAAAGAAAAAAAAAAACCCUAUAAACUCAACUACGUGGCAUCUAGUAAUGGCCGUUCUAAAGUAACCACCACUGUUUUUUUUUCCCUAGAAAUGCAUUAUAUUGAAGUGCUUGCCUGAUUCAAGAGACCGAGACUUAACACUUUAACACCUUUUUCCUCAGCUUCAAGUACAGCUUCUUCAAUCAAGGUAUUUAUGGAUACUUUUUGCCAUCGCAAGUUGUACUGCCAAAAAUUAGAUAAGCAAAUUAAGGAGAACAGAUUAAACUGAACGCCCUUGAUUAAUCAAUGACAAAGAAAUAUCCUUCUUAAUUACUUGAAUAUUGUAUUUUGGUAAGGUCCACGUCUGUAAUCUGAGUUUGUGGAAGCGAUUCCUCUCGACAACAAAAGUGCGUCCAUAAGUCCAAGUUAACAUCAUGGUCCACAAGGUCACCGGCCACAUUAACCAUAGAUACCACUUCGAUUCUUGAGGGUUGGAAGCCAAGCAGGCAAGUCCAAGCCGUAAAUGAUAGAUGGAAUCUGGUGUGGUAAGAUGAGUUAGAUGCACUACAUCAGGGGCUUCCUCGGGUCUCUUGAGCGAAUCUUCAUAGAGGGUAACAGAAGACGUGUCCAUUGUGCCAUAGAUGUAAUCAUAGAUGGGCAUGAAUAGUGAGUAAUUGGUUCUGAAUUGAGUGUGGUGAAGAGAGUGGUACCUGCAGCCAUAUCAAGUGUUUAUUAGUUCAUCAUGGAGGGAGUAACUAGUUCUAAACUGGCUUUGGUGAAGAGAGUUGGAACUUGCAGCUGCAUCAAAUGUUAAAUCAUGCAUUCGCGCUUAUCAGAUAUUGUUUUGAACACUGAUUAAUAGACAACGCAAUAAUGCACUGUCAGUGAAAAUAUAGUGGAAAAGGUGAAAUGUACGCGUCAAAGCUAUUAAAAUACAGUAUAAAAUCACAAAACGAUACUAUGGAAUUAUAAUUAACAGAGUAUUUUCCAUAGACGACUGUAUAUUCUUUUCAUCUUCUUUUUAUGCAAAAUUUGGUGAAUCAUUUUCCUGCUUUUUGUUCAUAAGUAUGGAAGAAAUCCCAUUAAUAAAACGAAGAGGAUACUGGUGAGAAUUAAUGAUUGAAAAUGCAAAAAAUCAACUGAGAUACAUCUAGACUUACGAUGGGGUGUACAUGAGGUACUUGAGAGGGGGGAAAAUGAUGAAGAGCCAUCUGGGAAUGAGUUCAAAGUUGCAGUGACCCAUGUUGUUCAUCAAGUCGAUGUAAGUGAUAUAACCAGCAAAGGAUGUUAAAGAGGCUGUCCCCGUCACAAUAGUCGUUAUCAAAGGUAUUGCGAAUAGCAUGGAGUAGGAUAUGUGCUCGGCGAAUGGAUGAAUCACAGCUGCGAUGCAGAUUUCCAGAAAGAAAAUGUCAAAUAAUUACACUUACUGUAUAUCAUCAUCAUGUAUUGCUAAUAGUAAUGGAGAAUGGUAUGCGUUCCCCUCAAUCACACACAAGAUUUUUCUUCCGUUAUUAUAAAAAUACGCGAACUUAAAACCUUCUAUGAAAGGUCAAUUAAACUAAGUUUAUCAACGAUCACACAAGAUUAUUAAUAAUUCAAAUGCACACCAUAUAUAAAUGUGUGUCAUUCUUCUUAAGGAGUACUUAAGAGAUUAACUAUUCACUUUGAAAUUCUUAAAUAACUUUUAAACCACCAACACCAUAUAUACAUGGGGGCCGGGGGUGUUUGGAGGGAGACUUACAAGUAAUGGGCUCUGUGACAAUGGAGGAAUGGUGGUGGGAAUGAUAGCGAGAGUAGAGAUAGUGGUGAUGAAGAAGUCGAUGAAGCCAAUAAUACAGAAAUUCCACCGGACCCAUAUGAAUCAGAGCUGUUAGAAUUACACCAUCUAACCUCCACAUGGGGAGAUGGCUAGCUCCUGGAAUUAUUUUGCUACCAACGUAGAAUAAAAUUCCAUUGAACAAUAUUUGGUCAUCCCUGCGGAUAUCCAACCAGAAAAUCCAAGUAUCAAAAAACUCACAAGCACUAGAGUGGAAAUUAAUGCAUGAAAUUAUUGAAAAAGUAUAUAUAUAUAUUUGAUUAUACAAAUACCAGUUGCUUUCUCUAUCAACUUGAUCAAAUUCAAUGCCUUUGUCAAUAAUCCUGUUAUUUCCUUUGGCUGUUCUGUAACGGGACAGGCUGAUCCAUAACUGGUUGUGAAGAACUCUCCACAACAGAAUUGGGAAAAUGAGAAAGCUUGGGAGAUCUUUUUCAUCUUUAACCAUAAAGGCGUAGAUGUUGUGAAUGACACAAGGAGCCAAUAUUACAUGCUGCAAUAUUUAAACACACAAACAAAACACAGAUAUAUAUUAUUGUUUUAGGGUUAUGAUAUAUUAACGUUGUUUGCACGAAAACGAGUUACUCUACGUGUGAUAUCAGAUAACGAGAAGAAAAGGAGCGAGAGAGAGAGAUGGGAGGGAUUUCCAUAUGACCUUAAAGCUUCCAAGAGGUUUCCAUGGCCAGUCUGUGAGAAUUCCAGGCCGAGAAGCCAUCACUUCACUGCUACUACUUGUCUUUGUUUCCUCGCUUGUAGCUAGGGAAGUCGUGUAUUUAUAGACGAUGAGUAAUAUAUUUUCUUUAGCGUUAACGUUAUAAUUAUUGAUGAGUAAUGUUUUUUUAAUAACAGUACUGCCGCUCGAUCAAGUUAGAGCUGAGUAAAUUAUAAAUUAAUCCUUUUAAUUUUGGAAAAUAAAUUAAUUAGUCAUCUUCUUAAAAAAAAAACAAAUUAUUCAGUUUUUUUGAUCUAUUAUAUGUUAUUUUCUAAAUUAUGUUUUAAUAAAUAAAUAGAUAUUAUGGAAAGAUUGAUGAGAAAAGUAGAUAUUUUUGUAAAUAAAUUAAUAUGAAAGUAAGCAUGAUUAACAAUGAUAAGUGAUUAAAUAAUUAAAAUAGAUUGGUCAACCAUAUUUGUAAAACGAUACAUGUUUCAAUAUACUAAACUCUCUUGCAGGGUAUUCUUUGUCUUUUUACCAUGGCUUUCUUUUUAUUAAUAUCAAGGUUACUCAUGAUGAUUAUUAUAUAUAAUCAUAUAUUAAAUAUUAUUAAAAAAAAAUUUAGUUUGUGCGUCGAGCUAAUAAGCAGGCGUCAUGUCAUUUGGACAGUAUAUGUGAGGUCAUGCAGUUAUCAAACACCACCUACUGCAGUAGUAUUUGAAUCAUCUCAGCGUCAUCUCCUUGAAGAGGUGACACGUGUUUCAAACGACCCUUCAGUUUGGCAUCAAUGGUCUUUUCAUCCUUUUCUUUUUUUCUCUAUCUUGAUUUUCGCACUACCCCUUAAAAAUCUUAAAACAUCCCAUUCAAUUUGUAUUUUAUUAAGAUUUUGUUCUUUUUAUUUUUAUUACUAAUUAUUUUAUUUUGAAUAACUUAUAGAAUUAGAAUUCUUUUUCAAUUUCAUCCCCCUUCAAUUUUUUAACCUUUCAAAUUUGGUCAUCAUUCUUUUAAUUGUUGUUUAUUUUAUUUGAGAUAAUUUUUAAAAUUGAUUUUUUUUCCAUUUUAUCCUCAUUGAGUUUUUUCCUAUCAAAUUUGAUCCUUUUUCUUUUGAUUGGUAUUUUUUAUUUUGAAAGAAAUUUUAAAUUUAUUUUUUUUCAAUUUCAUCCUUGAACAUUAAAUUAAUUGGGAAUUGAGCUUUUCAGUUGAGCUCAGGUCUAGGAUUUCAUGGGCUGCAAGUUUUAAAGAUUAGCCAAGGUUUAGAAGGCUUGCUCGGAUUUGCUUGAUUUUUUUUAUUCAUUUAGGCUUUUUUUUACUUUCAUCCAUUUAUUCAAUUUGAGAUUAAGCUCCAUUAUUUUUAUUUAUUUUAUUGUUUUAGAAUUUUACACUAAUUUUUAAAAUGUACCAGGUUAUUUCAGGUCUUUUUUUUAUUUUUCGUUCUUUGUUGAAUUUCUUUUGCCAAUUUUUUAAAUUGAUAAUUUUUUUAUAAUUUCAUCUUUCAAUAUCUAGAAUAAUUUUUUUAUAAAAUUAGAAUUCUUUUUCAAUAUUGUCAUUUUUGAAUUUCUUAAUCUUUCAAAUUUGGUCCUCAUUCUUUUAAUUGUUAUUAUUUUUAUUUAAGAUAAUCUUUUAAAUUAAUUUUUCUUACAAUUUCAUCCUUAUUAGGCUUUUUCUAUCAAAUUUGAUCGUCAUUCUUUUGGUUGCUAUUUUUCUACUUUGAAAAUUUUUUCAAAUUCAUAUUUGUUUUUCGAUGUCAUCCUUAAACAUUAAAUUAGUUAAAAAUGGGGCUUCUUGAUUGAGCCGUAGUAUGAGAUUUCAAUGUUGAAUGAUAUUGUGAAUUUCACUUUUGCUUCUUCCAAACAUCAUUUUGUGUUAAAAUUGACUAAAAAAUAUGAAGUUCGGGAGUUGAUAAUAACUGGAGAACUUGAGAAUGUUAUAAAGGCAAAUGAAGCUUCUAUUUUACAUCAACCUGAAACAACUAGUUAGGAUUCUCAUUUUAGUUCAAUAAGGAGUUUAAUUGAGUUAUUUGAAACAACAACAACAACAUUGCUAUUAAAGAUUGAAGAAAAUGGACCAAACUUUCAAUUUCAUACUAAGGCUUUCAAAUAUUCUUUUGCCAUGACAACUUUUGACUUUGUCAUUGUCUUACUUUUUACUAACAAAGUUAUGAGAGUUUAUUGAUUUUCUUUAACAAACACUUCAAAGAAAAGAUUAAGAUAUUGUAUAUGCUUUAAAUUUUAUUUCAUAUUCAAAUUUUCAACUUCAAUGUUUGAGGGAUAGCGAUUGGGAUGAUCUAUUUAAAAGUUUGGUAUUUUUUUGUGGACAACAUGAUAUUGAGAUUCUUGAUAUAAAUUCUCCUUAUAAGAUUGAUACAAGUCGUUCUUAUUAAUAAAGAGAUUCUAAUAUAGUUAAGUAUCAUUAUCAAUAUGAUAUAUUUAACACUGUGUAAUAUAUUUUUAACUGAUGGAUUUAAAUCAUAUAUUUUCAUAAAACACAGUGGAGUUGCUUUAUCUUGGAUCAGCAUUGAAUCAUUUUUAUGCCUUCACAUCAUUUAAAAUUGACGAUACAUGUAAGUUUGCUGAGAAAUUAUAUCCUGAAGAUUUUGCUCUUAUGAAUUUACAUGGUUCAAGAAUACAGUUGGAAUAUUAUAAGUUGUCAAUGGAUCAUCCAAACUUUGAGAAUAUUGAUUAUCUUGCUACAUUGUAUCAUCGUUUAGUUGACACAUGCUUGACAAAUGAUUUGGACUUGGUUAGUAGAAUGAUUCGAAUGGUACUAGCUCUUCUUGUUUUUUCAUCAAUGACUAAACAAACCUUUUCAUCUAUGAAGUUCAUUAAAAAUCAGCUUUGAAGUAAAUUGGCCUCUUUAGGCCGACACCAGCACCGUCUCGUUGCCAUUAAGCCUGAGCUGUUCACAGUUGUAGAGAAAUUCCAUUUGCGUGAGUAGUAUUAAUCAAGAUAAUAAAUUUCAAACACCAUCAUCUUCUGGCGACCCUCGUCUGGUACAGCGGCUUAAGGAAAAUAGGAAGCCAAUGAGCUCAAGCAAAUGGACAUGUCCUUCAAACACGAGAGCACCUGCUAUUGCCCGGUCAUUUUACAUGGUCCCACCUAUGCUGGCGAUUAUUCAAUUCUUACUUGUGAGUUUCGUGAACAUUGUAGAAUUGCUUACUCUCCUGUUGGCUUGAAAUGAUUAAUUUUCUGGAUGAGUAUCUCAUAUGCAUUAAAUAAGUGGAUUUCGUUAAUUAUUCUCAUAAAUCUAAUAGUUUGUUUUUUGGUAAGUAAAUUCUGUAAAAUACUUAUAUAAAAAUAGCAUUAUUUAUUAUAGAAAUGUGAUGUAAAUGUCAUUGGUUCAAUUAUGUUAAUGGGUUCGUGAAAAACUCUAACAAGUUUUUUUUUUUUUUAAUUACGAAGAACUAGAAAGUGAGAAGAUUGGACUUAAGUUGCAUGUAUAUAAAAUUAUUAUAAAAAGUGACAUGAACAUUUUUAUACAGGAUAUUUAUUUUUAUUUUUAUUUUUAUUUUUUUAAAGUGAAUUUUAAAAAAUAAUUAAUAGGAUAUCACUGGUUAUUUAUUAAGCAUAAAAAAAUUUAUUUUUGAAAUCUUAAAUUUAUAUUAAUAUGGAAAAAAAUGAAGUUUAAAAAAUUAUGCUAUGUUUAUUUAAUCUUAAAUUAAAAAAAUAAAAUUAAAAAAAUUAGUGUUCACGUCAACGUGAACAGUGUGAGUGAAUAUUAAUUAAUUUACUGUCUAUUUUUUUUUGUUUAAAUAAAAUUUAAAGAAUUAUGCCGUGUUUAUUUAAUCUUAAAUUAAAAAAAGAAGAUAAAGAGAUCACAUUAAGAGUUUUUAAGUAAUUAGAUUAUGAAAACUUUUUUUGUUUUUUUGAACACAUCAAGAGCACUGAAAAACUAGUAAUAUUGUAACAUUAAAGCAUACGUUUCAGUAUUUAGUAUUGUAAAACUGGAAGUAAUUAUUAACAAUUAAUAAUUAACGGCACUACAUAUGCGAGCAGGCUGUCGUUUCUCAUUUUAAUUAUUUCAUCAGAAAUAACAUGUGCCAAUAAAUGUGAGGGUGCUUUUUCUGCUAGCUGCGGCAAGGUUUGUUGCCGACAGUGAUUUUGUUUUCGUUUUUUUUUUUUUUUGUUUUUUCCCUCAUCUUACACUGUUAUUCAAAAAUUUUAGAAUUGUCGGUGCCCGCAUUUUAACUUUGGAUUUUAUUUUUGUUUUUAUUUCUUUUAUAAAAUCUUAAUUUAUUAUUUAAUUUUAAUUUGUGAUAUAUUAUUUUUUUCAAUUUAGUCUUUAUUUUUUUAAUUAUUUUUUUUUCAAGUCCUUUUGUUAAAUUAAUUUUUCUUUUUGGUUUCAUACUUCAAUCAAAAAUUUAUUUUUAUUUUUACUUUAAUUAUGAUCCUAAUUAUUUUAAUUAUUUUUUUAUCCUUUUGUUAAAUUUAUUUUUCUUUUCAAUUUUAUCCUUCAAUCAAAAAUAAAAUUUAUUCUUUAUUUCAAUUUUGAUCAUCAUUCUUUUAAUUAUAACCUUUUGUUUUAGAUCCUUUUAUAUAAUUGAAAUUUCCUUUCUAAUUACAUCUUUCAAAAUUUGAUUUAUUAGGAAUUGAGUUUUUUGGUUUUUAGAUUGGGUGCUCGGGUUUUCUCUAUUUAUUUUAUUUUCGAUAUUGGUUUCUUCAAAAAGACUUGCUUUUGUGAUUUUAUUUUGUUUUCUUUUCUAUCAUAUUAUCUCAAUAUUAUAACUUGGAUUGUAUGUGUGGUGGGAUAACCUGGAUUGACUCAGCUCUGAUUACCCGAGUUACAUGUUUGUCAUGCUAACUCGGGUUGACACAAAUCAUAUUUUUAGAUUUUUUUUUAUCCAACUUCAUCCUUCCAUAUUUAAUGAACUGAGAAUUGAGCUACAUUAUUUGUUCCUGUUUAAAAAAAUAUUUUCUUCAUAGGUUAUCAUGAUCACUUUUUGAAAAAAAAAAAUGAUCAAUCUGCUAUCAUUGUUUUUUUUUUUAUUUAAUUAAAAUAAAACUAAAUUAUUUGAAUUAUUUAGGUUUAUGAUUGAAUAGCGGGUUUUUCUUCUUUGUUUAAAAUGCAUUAGUGGCAUCUAAACAUCAAUUUUUACAUAAAAAAAAUUAAUUUGGACAUGAACAUCGAAUUUCUUCUGCAUUAUAAAUCACAACAUUUCCAUGGCUUUCAAAGUUCAGGAAAAAAAAAAGAUUUUUGCUGGUGUGGAUAAUAAAUGCGAUCAAUACAGCCACACAUACAGAACUAGGCAGCAUCUUUAGUGCUAGAGACACCAUUAUUCAUGUUUAGUCAAAGGAAACUGUAACUGCAAAGCUUAUAAGAGAAAUGGAGAUUGUACAGUAAACCAUAGCGGGCAAUGGAAACAGAGACUGCAAUUAAAACAGGAGUGCAGGAAUUUAAAAAAUGAAAAAGAGGCAAAGAAAUCCCAAAUUCAAAUACAAAAAGAAUAGUAUCUUGAAAAUGAUUUUGAGGAAGAAAUACCUUCGACAGUUCCAAGAAAUCCACUGCAAUUAGUGUUGUGAGAAAUAAGGUUCAAUCUAGUCCCGGGAAGAACGGUUGGAUCAGAAUUGACAUCGUCAACAGCAGCAGCAAUAGCUGGCCCAGCUGCUCUCCCUAUCACUGAAUCGAAGGUAAACAAACUUCCUAUAUUUGCAACACUCGGUCGUGGAGAAGAAGAAGAAGAAACACUAGUUCCAUUUCCAUUUGCAGCUGCCUGACCAAAAACAACUUCCAUGGGCACACAAAUACCAGUAAUCAACAGCAGCAGCAGCAGCAACACUCUUUUCAUCAUCAAAAAUACUCUAGUAGCACAACCACCACCAGCAAUAUUCAAAGACACAUCCAUGGUAACUAACCAAGCUUGCAAUCAAAUUAAAAAUAAAUAAAUGAUUCUCCACGUCAAGCAACCAUUUUGUUUCUUCAAUGUAAUAAGUACCUGCCAAUGAUGAAACACAAGCAGAGACACAUGUUAAUGAACAUCGAAAGCCGAAUUAUGAAUAGCAACAAAAUAUAAUAAAGUAGAAAAACAAGCUGUGGAGCCCACAUGCAAGGGAGGAAAAACAAAGAAGGAAGGAUGUUGCGGUGUAGUGGAAUAUUUUGGUAUGGCUUUAAGCUUUGGCUUAGAUCAGAUUAGAUGUUAGCAUAUAUAAGUGAUUACCUUGAAGCCCAGAUACGGAAACUAGUUUGAACAGUUGAGUGCAUCAUAAUUAAGCUUUGAGGAUGUAAUGAAAAAACAAGGAUCAAGAGAGUGGACAAAAGCUCUAAACAGUCUUGCAAGCUCAAGUAAGGAAUGAUUCUCUCCUUUUAUGUCUGCUUGUUUUAUUAUUCUCUGGUGUGUUUAAGCUUUUUGCAAAGGACCAUGGCUAGCAUUUACUACAAUUUAAUAAUAAUAAUAAUAAUAAUAAUAAGAGUUAAAGUAACUCUAAUAUAAUAUCUUUGGGAUUCCACUCCAAACAUAUAUCAGUUAAAAUUAAUUAUUUUUUUAUAUUUUUAAAUCAUUAAUAUGUUAAUUUCAAAAAUAAUUUUAAAAAAUAAAAAAAAUAUUAUUUUAAUAUAAAAUAUUAUUUUAAUAUAUUUCUAUAUAAAAAAUACUUUAAAAAUAAUUAUUAUCACAUUCUCGAACACCUCUUAAUCUAAUUAUGAACCAAAUUUACUAUUCUAUAUUUCUUUGUGGAGUAGAAAUCCAUCAUGUGAUCCCUCAAGUUUUAAAAAUUAGCUAAAUCACCCUCUUUGUGUCAACUUAUUUUAGGAUUUCUUUUCUCUUUUUUGUUAUUAUAAAGGAGAGAUUCAAACUUAAAGCCUCUUAAAGGAGAGAAGACAGUGAUACUAAUUGAGUUACAACUCUCCUUUUUUAAAAGAAAAUAAAUUAAUAUGAGAUGUUAACCCUCGUGUUUUGAAUUUGUAGUCAAGCAUGUAUGUGGUCAACCCUGGCGACUACAAAGUACAAACUGAACUGUUGUGCCUAAAAUUAAAGUGUAAUGGUCGAUUUAAUCAAUUUCCAAAACUUGAGGUAUCAAGACAUGAAUUUACUUUUUAGAAGAAAAAAAAAUACAUCGAAUGACCCUUCUUGUCGUAGUUUUGAACCCGGCCCGGCCCGGCGGGUUAAUCCGGGGCUGGAACCGAUCCGGGUUGAAGAAAAAACGGGGGAAAGAAAAACCCGGUGUGACCUGGUAGGUUGACCCGGCGACCCAGUCAAGACCCGGUUGCAAACCCGUUGACUUUUGUUUUUUUUACUAAAACAACAUCGUUUUGAUUUAAAAAAAAAAACUGACCCGGCCGACCCGGUAAUCCAGUCAAAACCCGGAACCCGGAUCUUAGACCGGACCGGCCACUUGGCCAGGUCUUAAAACUAUACUUCUUAUUUUGAGAGUAAAUAAUCAUACUCGUAGAAGUUUGGAAGCAUUUCCAUUUAUUCCCAAAUAAUCAUGCCAUUCACGUAUCGUGUCUACUUGUAAUGUAUAUGUAAUAGUCAAUGUACCCAUGCCACGCUUUUGGUGGAAUUCCAAGUCAAUUUCAAAUGCAAAAGGAGAAUAUGCAUGUACUAUAUUAUAGAUGUGUUUUUUAAUCUCAUAAAAUUUGUUAAUUAAGGAAGGAAGGUUUAAUACAAUGAAUUGAAAAAAAUAUAUUAAUAGGUAAAUAAAAAAAUUAUGAAUGUUAAUUAAACAUUGAAUGUUAUUUUUUAAAAAUAAGAAGUAAAAUACAGAUACAAAUACAAACAUUUUACAUCGACAUCAUUUUUAUUUUAUUUAUUUAUUCUGAAGCUAUGAUUACUAAAUACAUAUGAAUUUUAAUUUUAUAAAUACAAAAUACAGAUAUAACUAAUCUAUCUUAAAUCUAAAAUAAAAAAUAAAAAAUAAAUUAUAAUAAUUUUUUUUUGAGGUAUUGCAAAAUUAUAGAAACCAACCAAAACUUUUAUUUCUAUUAAAAAUAGUCAAACUAAACAACUUUAAAAAUGAGAAAGAGGAAAUUAAUUAAGAAUUAAACUAGAAAAAAAAAAACCAAUGAAAAAAAAAGAGAGUCAAGGUUACUUGACCUAGAAGACUAAGCCCACCCAUUUAACCUAAAAGGCAAAAGCCUAUACGGCCCAGUUCUCUAUUCUUUUUUUUUUUUUUAAAAAGGGUAAUAUGUUGUCUUUUCAAAUAUUUUUUUAAAUUAAUCAAACGACAAGUCAUCUGUCUAGAUUGACAACAUAUCAUUCACCAUUAUCUUUUCUAAUCACCUUUAAUGAUCGAAAAAUUAGAGUUUGACUUUUUGUACUCACAAAAACAAUUUUCAACCUGUUUUUAUGAAAAACACCCCUAAAAUACUUGAAACUUCCAUAAACUCAUUCCAACCCUAGAACAUCAUCUAAUCACUAUAAAAAAUGAAAAUCUAAUAUAAGAAUAAAAAAGCUUUACGGACCCUAGUCAUCCUUUUCUAGCAUGUUCAAAGGGCAACACACCACCUUCAUUAAACUCUCCUAUCUAAAACGAACCAAUUAACACACUACACCAUUAAACAGUUUUACCGACAGAUUCAUUCCGUUGGUGUAAGACACACAACUCGUCGGUAAAAUAUUUACCGACGGAAUCCUUUUGUUGGAAUAUUGAUCGUCGGUAAUUCUCCUUUUUGUCGAUGAUUCUGUCGGAAAUAAAAUAAUAAAAAACAAACACCAACAGUCUUACAGACGGGGGAAGCGCGCCAAUUUUUUUUUCUCGCGAGAACUAUACCGACGGACGUGUUUGGUCUGUAUUUCCAACGGUAAAUCACCGACGGACUGGCCGUCAGUGAUUGUGGCAUGGACGGUAAAUAUUUCAAAACUCUCUGUACAAUAUCGACAAAUAUAUUUCGUCGGUAAUAUCAACAACAAACACCGACGAAAUAUAUCAACGGUACACCAAAAUCAGCCUUUUGUGUCCAAAAUAUGGCUUACCAUACCCUUUCUCUUUCCUUUACCUUUUUCCAAUAACUUUAUCUCCCCUUCCUACAACCAAUGACUGAAAUGUAAACGAAAAAAAAAUUAAAGUUUAAGAUUGAAAUAUAAGAACCUAAAACAACAAAGUUCAAAUAUGCAAAAAUUUUAAAAAAGUAAGGGACUAAAGUGAUUUUUUCCAUGUCUUUGGAUAGUAAAGAUGAAGAAAAGGCUCUGUUUUUGUUUAUUUUAUUUUUGGUAAUUAUUCUAACUUUUUUUAACAAUAACCUAAAAUUCCAUUUUGUAAAAUUUUUCUUUCAUGUAAUAUCAAAAUAUUCUUUAACAUCUCGCACACACGAAAGCAUGCGAAUAAAAAAAUGUCAAAAUAUAAAAUCAUGAUAACAUAACUUUUGAAGACGAGAUUAAAAAAAAACCUUUAAUGAUCAAAACAAAAUGAACUAAAAACUUGAGGGUCCUAGAUUGAAAAAUUGUCUAAUAAACAGGGAAAUGAGUGUUGAUAAGAACAAUGAUUUCCUAGACUUUUUUAGUUUAUUAAGUAAUAAUUACACAAAUAAGUAUUUUGUUUUUUGAGUUACAACAAAUAGGUUUGUUAAUACUUAAAAGUUAUUCAAAUAUCAAAGAUAAGAUUUGAUAAGAUCCAUUCAUAUAUCUGAACAAAUUAUGUCUCUUUAAAUCAAAAUUAAUUCCUUAUGCAAUUUUCCACAUAACAAAUACAAGUUAUACAACAUAUGAAACAAGAUGAACAUAACUUGAUUGGAUUAGCUUGAUAUGGAAGUAGCUUUUGUAUUCGUUCAAAUUAGAUCAGAUUGAAGAAUUUAUUCACUUGUUAAGUAAUCAUUAUCCAUUCUAUUUUUUUUUUCUAUUUAAAAAUGAAUAAAUAUGUUAUUUUUAAAAACCAUAUGAAAUCACAUAGUUAAAGUAUUGAAAUAAAUAAAUAUUUAUUCAUUAAGAUAAAAUACAAUAAUAAAAAAAUAUUAAGUGAUAACAUAUAAAAAUCUCCACUCCUCCCUUCACCUAACCUUGUAAAACAUGACUAAUUAACCAAUAGUUAUUUAAACCAUACAAAAACUAAAACCAGCUAUGUCAAAUGACAUUGGUAACCAAUAAGCCAAGUAAAAUCAAGUAUAAUUCAAUCCUUCUAUUUUAAUGAAACUAAUUAAUUAUCAUCAUGAGUUUAGAAACUAUAUAUUCAAUCUUGAAAUUUUAAAAUAUGUUUAUGCAUUAAUAAGAUGGACAAUCCAUAAUCUUGUUUUAUCUUUCUAAAGCUCAUGAUUACACCUCUAAACACUAUAAGAACUGAGGUAUUCAUUGUUAUCAAAGAAAAAUAAUUUGUAUAGUAUCCUCCUUAUAUGUGGGGUAAUACAUAUACAUAAAAUCUCAAUAAAUAUUGUUUAUUCAAUAAGAAUAUAAGACUUGACACAAAAGAUUACAAUGCCUUGAAGAAAUAGGUAAAUAUAUUAAUUUCUAAGGCUACAUCUAACAAUUUAUAUAUAAAAAAAUAGAUGGAGAACUAGUGUUCAUCAUUUAUCUUUACCUAAACUCCUUUCAUAAGCCUAUUACCUUUUAUACCUCAUGAUGGAGAACAAGUAUCAUUUCCAUAUGAGGAUGCUUUGGUAAUAAUCAUUGUCCUUUCCAAUUAUAAAGUAUAAAAUAUGCUCACGAUAAUGGAAACGUGGUGAAUAUUUUCUUAAGUAAUGUUGUAAAUGGAAAUUAACCCCUUCAAGUUAAUCCUUGUUAAAACGCCUCUAAUUGGAAUAAAAGGGAAAAAUUUUCUAAACAAAUGUUUUAUUGAUAAACUAGUAAACAUUGAAACUUAUUUCAAAAGUCUCUCUGCAACAAAUUUUUAUCGUGAUCAAAAUGGACUUGGCUUAUAACUUCAUCAAUGACUAGCCUCUUUUUCAUGGGAUUAGAAUGACAAUCAAUAUCAAAUAUCUAGUUAUGAAAUUUUAUAUUGAAAAAGGAGUUGUCACAGUAAAGAAAAAUCAAUUAAUCUUAAAAAAAUACUUCUCCAUUUGCCUCAAAUAAAGCUAUGUUUAUUGAACAAACAAGGUUUUUUAAAGAGAGGGCAAAGAUAUGGACUAAAGCCAUGAAAAGAUAACCAAUCGACCUCUAUGAAAUAUGUCUUCAUUUACUUUAAAGAUAAGAAAAUUAUGUUUAUAAAACAAAUAAGGCCUCCAAAAAAAGAGACCAAAGAUAUGAAUUGAAGCCAUAAAGGGAAAACUAAUUAGCCUUUAGGAAAUGCACCUUCACUUUUCUUAAAGGCAAGAAAACUAUAUUCAUUGAACAUAUAAGGCCUCUAAAAAAUAGACUAAUUAAAGAUAUUGACUAAGGCUGUAAAAGAUGAAAAAGAAGUAAGUCUCUUUGAACAUGAUACUAGUGUAAUUAUUAAGAUUAGAUUUGCAUUAGACAUCGAGUAGGAGAAAGCCAUCACGAAGCUUUUUAAAAUCCAAAGGGCUAAUUUCACUUUUAAUCCCUCAGAUAUUCUAAGUAUAGACUAGGAUGUGGCCUCCCAUAUAUCAAACAUCAAUUUAUCUCUCAUUUUUACUAGGAAAAAAAAAGAGUUUUAAGGUGAAAGAUAAAAGGUCAUAAUUGAGGAGGUAGAUAAGUUGCUAGAAGCAACUUUCAUUUGAUAAGUAAUGUACUCUGAUUAGCUUGCCAAUAUGAUUAUGGUGAAAUAAUAGUCUUGAAAGAUUAUCAUGUUCUUUUUCAGUCAUUGAUCUGUACCCAUUGCAUCUCCUCCUUUGAUGCUAUUAUAGUAUAAGAACAGUUGGCCUGAAAAACUAGUUUUGAUGUGGAUUUUUCGCUCUAUAUAACAGUAUGUUCAGUGCUGCAAAACGGUUAUUAUUUCAUCCGGGCAAGAGUACAAGUGAUAGGGUGUAAAGGAGGGGUGUUUUUUUUGUCUUAUGUAAAGGAGAAAGGAGGGAGUUUUAAACCUUGCACACACACACACAGAGAGAGAGAGAGAGCACAGUUGCCCAUUCAUUCUGUCUCACGGGAAGUUGGAGACAAUCUACAAUGCUUCCUAAAAUGACUUUGUUUCCUUUAUAUAUAUAUAUAUAUAUCAAAACGAGGUGUUUCAUUUAAAUGAAACAACAUCGUUUUGACGGUUAAGGUUUGAAUUAGGUUAAUUCUUCUUUUUCAAUUUCAAUCUUUCAAUUUAUUCAAUUAGGUCCUUAAUUGAAUUUUAGGAAUCAAUUCAAUUUUACCCCUAUAUAGUUUCAAAAACAUCCCCUGAUUUCAGUGUGUUUUUCAUCUUAGUCCUUGGUUUUGGAUUUAUAAAAAUUGAUCCUCAAUUGAUCAUUUAACCUUUGAUUUUCUUCAAUUUGGCCCAUGAUUUCAUCGAUUUUAGCCCCUGAAGUCUCGCGCCUCUAACAAGUCGGUCCCUGAUCUUGAAGUUCUUUGAUUUUGCUCUUAAUUGACCCUAAAACUUUAUUUUUCUUGCAAUGUUGUCCUUAUUUUCACCCAAUUGACUUUGUAAAAAUUAAAUUUUGUCCUCUAAAAUUUUAAUCUUCUCAAUUAAACCCAAAUUAGGCUUUCAAUCUUAAUUUUUCAUCAAUGAAGUCUCUAGUAAAAUUAAAUUGACCAAUUAAAAGUCUAAUUAAAUCUUUGCACUUAAUUAAAUGUUUUAAUUUGACCCAAAUUAAUUCUUAAACUUAAUUAAAUCUUUAAUUGGACCCAUAAUUAAAUCAAAUUGACCUAUCAAAAGUUUAUUAAGUCCUCAUACUUAAUUUUUAUGUAAAUUCACCUAAUGGUCAUUUAAUUUGGCCUUAAUUUGUAUUGUCUCUCAGUCUUGGAUUCAAUUGGUUUAAUUGGGCUCCAAAUUCUAUUCAAAAUCCUAAUUUAAUUCCUCCAUGUGCUUGAAAUCCUUCUUAGCCUACUCUUGCUAAUAUUUUUUUAUUUUCAUUUUUAUUGUUAUUUUUUGUUACUUCUUAUUUUAUUUUAUUUUAUUGUAUUUUGAAAAUAUUUAGAAACAGAGGGUCAAAAAUUGGGUUAUGACAGAACCAUAGUUUUCUUAUUUCUAUUUUGUGUAUCAGAUCUAGAACACCUUCUAAAACGUUUUGACACAAAUUAUUGAAACAAUGCUCAAUUACUCUUUGUGACAUACCUCGGUUUAAUCUCUUCCACUUUUCAAUGUCAUAUCAGAGCUGACUUUUCUAAUUACUUGUUUAUGGGUAUGGGUAUCGUACCAUAAAUCAUGCAACCUGUUAUAGAAAUUUGUUAAACAAAAAAAAGGCAAGGAAAUAAAAGAAUACAAGUUUACAAUAAUAUAACAUUAGUUGGUUUAAACAUACCUAGUUGCACAAUGGUUUUCCCACAGUCUCCUAACAAGUGUCUUGUUGCUUUUGUCCCACAAAAAAAAAUUUCUUAAUUGAUUUCAUACCUUAAUUAGUUUCCAAAAUUUUAAAAACUAGUAACUCAAAGUAGAUAUUAUUUAAUUAUCUAACCUUAAACUUUCUCCAUCAAACAUUUACCAUGUUCAUCCAUUCAGGAUGCUCAUAAAGCUCACUCUAUUAAAACAAUGGUUCUUUAAACAACCACUUCAUUGUAGAGGUAAUCGAACAUGCAACUUCAAUAUUAGUGAACUUGAAAACCAUUUCAUCAAUGUCAUUUUCAUGUAAUAUAAAACUUAAAAUAACUUAAUACAAUAAAUAACUUCAAUAUUGAGAUAAAAUAUUAAUUAUAUACAAUGGUCGCCUUUCCAUUAUGCAAUAAUUUUAUCUGAAAAAGGCCCUAUCAAAGAAGAGAUGCCUACUAUGUUGUCCUUAUUGGUUAAGCCUUGAUCAGUAACUUUUACAUUAAGUGGUGUGUCCUUAUAAUCAUCAUCUAUAUUAGCAACACAAUCACCGACACUAAUACUUGAUAAAGUAGUAGCGCUCUUAUUAGACUUAAACAUAUUUCUUCUUGAAUAUAUGGUACCAAAAAAGAAACAAUAACAUAAUGACAACACAUACUCAUGAAAUUUAAAUUCAAACUCAUAUAAGCCAAAUUUUAUUUUGCCAAAUUUUCUAAUAAACAUGCUAAGAAAAUUAACACACAGAGAGAGAACAUAAAACAAAAAAUAAAAUAUUCAAAUAUGACUCUAUAACCAUAUAAAAAUAGCAUCUCACUUCAUCAAAAAAUUAACCAAUUACUACAUUUCCUUUCAUAGAUAACACAUCUAAAUUAGUAAUAGCCUUCACAUUUUUAUUUGUGCUACUCCACAACAAGUACAUUUAAGGAAUCCAAAUCAAGCAAAAAAUGAUAACAUUAUCCCUACAUAUAAAAAAACCAUAAUUUCUCAUUUUCCCGUACUUUCUUAGCUACCAAACAAAUAGGUUACUUACAUAAACAAUAAAAAAGAAAUCAUAUUACUAAACGAACAAUCCCCCCCUAGUCACAUAAACUUAGCCAUAAAUUAUCUUCUCUUCACUUCACUAUUUAACCAACCAAGAAACCAUAAUUGAUACUUAAACAAACUCUCUUCACUUCACUAAUCUCUUUUUCUUAGUUAGCUAAAUACUUAAAUUAUAAAUUAUAAAUCAUUACCCCACUUUUCCACCAACCAACCACGAACCCAAAUCAUCAAUAAAAAUAAUCCUCCACUAAACCAAGUAAAAAAAUAAACAUUUAAAACAAUACCUAAAAUUCAAAAAACAAUCUUCCUAUAUUACCAACAUGCAAAAAUUAACAAAACCCAAAAAAACCUAAAUCACAUAAACCAAAUAGCAAAUAAAUUACCUUCAAAUCGGGUAAAAACCAUAGCCCAAACUUAGGAUUUAACUAUGCCAAGUCCUUAGUUUAUUAAAUAAAAAAGAAGAAAUUAAACUUGAGAUGGGUAGAAAAGAGGUAUUAUCAAUGUGGGAUGUGUGAGUGGGGUAGGGGUUACUGUUGUUGUUUUGAUGAUGAUGAAUAACAAGAAGAAGAGGAAGAAGAAGAAAAAGAAAUAGGAAGAUGAGAGGAACUCUUGAGUUUUAAUUCAUUUUAAAAACAUAAAUGAAAAUUCAUUUAGUAAUUUAAAAAUAUUAAAAUACCAAUGUAAUUGUCGAUAAAAUAUUUUUAUUUUUUAUUCUGUUUAUUUUUUCCCAUAAAAAAUUACUGAAGAAAAUCUUUCAUCGUAAUUUCCAUCAGUAAAUAAUUAUGAAACAUUUUUUGUCAUGUUUUUGUUAUUAGUGUAUGCCCACAUCUAUUUGUUUUUGUUACUAUUCUCCAAUUUUUUAGUGGUGUAUGCUCAUGUCUAUGAGCAAGUUGGUUUGUUUUUGCAAGUAUAAAUACUUCAUGAAAAUGUCCGGCAAGGGAGGACACAAAAAAAGAAAUAGAUAGACUCCUACAAGGAGAAAACAUUCUCAUGUGCGGAAAGGUCCAGAAUCCAUCAAGGUUUUCAGCAAGGAAGGAAGAUGAUAAAAACUCUUGCUUAAAAUGAUUCAUGCAUGCAUGUCAUAUAAAAAAGAGAAAAGAAGAGAAAAAUCUUUUGAGAGACUACGACCGUGUCUUCAUCACAAAAUUGGAAAUUGAUUAUCAUCUUUAUAAAUUUAAGAACUCGAGGUCAGUCGGAGCACGUUGCAGGUGAAGUGUUGAACAAUCAAACUGUGAAUUUAAAGGACGAAGGUAGAGUAUACGAAGGUGGAAGUUUCUGACUCAAAAUAAACUUUAUUUAUAUUACAAUCCAUACAAAAAUACCAAAAUCUAUUCAAAAGAUACUCCAAAAAAGAAAAAGAAAAAGAAAACAAAACUGUAGUUAAUUGAGGUGGUGGGGCUGGGACCAAGGUUGUUAAAAUCGCGAUUCAACUCGUAAAAUCGUACGUUUUUACGAGUCAAUAUAGGCUUUACGUGCUAAAUCGUUCACAAAACUCGGAAAUGGGUAAAAUCGGGUCAAAAUCGGGUAAAAUCGUUAAAAUAGGGUGAAAUCGCUUAAAAUCGCGAUUUCACUGCCGAUUCAACGAGUUUGCCCGCAGGAGAUAAAACAGCAAUGUUGAUGACUGGUGUCAACCGCCUAUUGGCUUUAACUGAGCAAAAGUGACAAAUUGACAAUUGCAAAUUCAUCGAGGAUGCACUAUGCAGUCUUCUCUUCACAUUUCUGAUUUCACCAUUCACGUUCAGAACAGAAAAAAUCCCUAAAUUGAAAUCCAUAAGCAUACCAUCAAGCCAUGAAGUUUGGAAAAGAAUUCAAGACCCACCUAGAAGAAACCCUUCCUGAGUGGAGGGACAAGUUUCUCUGCUACAAGCCCCUCAAGAAACUCCUCAAACAAUUACCUUCCACCGUUGAUUCUCCAUAAUUUCUUCACUCUCUGAUCAUGGAAGCAGACGACUUGUCAGUCCUUCACAAAUCACUCUUCGAAGACAAACUCUCUGCCACCGAUCUCUUCUUACAAAAACUCUGUUCUGAUACUUCCAUCAAGUCAGCCCUCCAACGAUUCUACUCGAUUCUAAAACGCGGCGUUUCACUGAUCGAUGAUGAUGCUAAUAAUAGUGAACGCAAGUUAGGGUUUCAAUUAUGGACCGAUUCGCAAAUUCAAUCUGUCGUUUCACUCGGUAUCGCCAUCGUUUCGUCUUCUAGAUCUCUGUCAGGUUGUCUUUUUUACUCGAUUUCCACUUUUAUUUAUUGAUAAUUCUUUUAAUUCAUUUUUCUGUAUGGUUGAAUUUUAAUUAGCAGUUCAGUAGUUAACUUGCUAAUAAUUUCGAUUUUAUUUUAUUUAUUGAUAAUUUUUUAAUUCGCUUUUUUUUUGUAUGGUUGAAUUUUAAUUAGCAGUUUAGUAGUUAACUUGUUCAGUUUUUUUUUUAAUUUUUUCUAAAUAUUAAUUUUCAACUCCAUCCACGCCCUCCUCCGCUCACUGGUGAUGUUCAUGGUAAUACGAAUAGGACUUUGGUGGAUUUGCAAGAAUGGUUUGUUAGAAUUCUUAGUGAAGAGCUUGACAAGUUCAAUGAUUUCUAUGUUGAUAAAGAAGAAGACUUUGUUAUACGCCUUCAGGUUUCUUUCUUGAUUUUUCUUUUCUUUCUUUGUUUUACAUGUUUAUAGCUUUGUGCAUAUGGGUUUUUAAUUUCGAGGCUUUUGUUUAUUAUAGCUCUGGGAAUUUAAGGUAUUGUGGUUUGAUGGUGGCUUUUAAGGUUUUUUCUAUAUGCAUGUCUUGUAAAUCCGAACUCAUAGGUCUGGUUUAAGGGUUUUGUAAGUUUUUGAAUAAUCAGGAGAGGAGUAGAAUGGAGAAGACAUCGUGACUUCAUUGGAACAGGAGAAUAGUGGGAUGUCAAGGAAAAAAGACGCAUAAAAGUGGCUUUCCUUUCCCUGGUAGUGCUGGGUGGUGUUGUCAGAUAGUAUGUGAAGAGGAGAUUGUCGAUGGGAUUGGAGGGGCUUGAUAAAGUUAAGAAUAACUUUUCCAGUUUGUGGAACUUGCUGAAGUAGAGCAGAGUAUUUUGUAGUAUAGUUAUAAGGCCAACCAUCGUCAAUUAUAGCUGACAAUAGGAUUGUUGGAAGUCAGUUGAGGGAAUUGAGGGUGCUGAAAUGAGGAUAUUGAAAUGAAAUGCCAGGUCAUCAAUAUAUGAGAAUUCUUGGGUUAUAACUUAUGAUGAAUGGAUUCUGUCUAUUAUUUGUAAUUUGGAUGAAUGGAUUCGACGAAUGAAUUCUGUCUAUUAUUUGUAAUUUGGAUGAAUGGAUUCUGUCUAUUAUUUUCUGAUUGGAUAAUAAUAUAGAAGAUGGGCUGUUAUGUAUUAUGUUUUUUUUUGACAAAAAUUUAAUUACAAUUAUAAAAUGUUUGGAUUGAUUACAAGGCUGAUUUGAAUUGAUUCUUGAAUUUUUAUUUGAAGCAUGAAUUUUUUUAAUGUAUUUUAAAAUUCCUUACGAUUUUACGAUUUUACGAUCCGUUUUUACGAUCCGAGUUUGUUUUGCAUUUUCCGUGCCGUGUUAAAAUCGCGAUUUUAACAACCUUGGCUGGGACCUCAGUACCUGGUCCUUUCUUUUAUAGCUGUGUGAUAUUUGUCAGUGAAGGUAAGGCCCCCAUGCAGAUGUCCCUUUUUCACUCUUUUUUCUUUUUCCCGACCCCAGAUAUAUGUGGACUGUUUCAUGUUUAUUUUAUUGGACACAUGUAAUAUUUAAUCAAUCUUUGGACAUGUUGUUGCCUCUCUUUUCAUCAUAACUUUUGGGUGUUAAUGAGGGUUGCUUGCAGCAGCAGAUUUAAAAUAAAAAUAAAUAAAUUUUCAUAAAAAAAAAACACGUUGAACCUCAUCCACGAAUAUUAGAUAUGCGUUUACAAUCUCCACGUCUCGUGAUGCUGUCAGACAAAAUCUCCCAUAUUAUAGUAGAUCCAACUCUGUUUUGUGUGGUGUGGCUUCAAAGAUUUUAGCUCAGCCCCACGUUUACAAAAGUUUAUUGUUGCAAUAAAAAAAGAACAUAAUUAGAUGGCAAAAUCUAAAUUAGACCAACCAUAUUAGCUCGAUGUGUGAAUGCAGAUUAGAGAUGCAUCCCAUUAUCUAUGAAAGCUCUUCAGAAUACUUUUAAAAAUGAUACAGAAAGGGAGAGCAUUCCCGCACCCAAUUACAGCACAGGAGCAAGCUCUUACUGGUUCCAACUUCCAAGCCUUAACCCCAAGGAUGGGUCGACGGUCAGCUUGACUUGCUAGCAAUUGAAUUUUAUGUUUUGAAAAAUUGAUUUGAUGCCUAAUAACCAACCAAUGGUAUGCCCCGCAGUGUUUGUCAGGCUAAGCAUAUAUUUCCACGAAAAAAAAUGACAAUCACUACGCUCGCAAUGAUCACCACUUAAAAAUGAUACAGAAAGGGAUAGCAUUCCCGCACCCAAGGGCAGAGGGCAUGUUAAAGGAUACAUGUAAAGAUUUUAUCAAUAUUUUUUAACUAGUUUUAUAUAAAAAUAAAUUUAUAAUUAAUAAUUGAGUUGUUAAAAAAUUUUAAAAAUUUACGUGGAGCCUUUUAAUAUGAUGCUUUACCUUUGGUUAAAAUUUCAGAAUUUUUGAAGAAAUUCAGAGAUUUAAUGAAAAAUCACAAUUUAACUAGUUUUACCUUAUUGGACGUAAUUUUCAAUACGACCAUCAGAUUGAGCUGAAGUUUUACGAGGGAUCUUAAAAUAUAUAGAAUAAAAUCUGGUUAAAAUUUUAGGAUGAACAGAGUUUUAUUUGCCAUUAAAAAAUAAAACAAAUCAACUCUUUCUUUUUUUCAUAUGUUGCCGACCGGUCAAAAGUAGAAUAAAAAAAAAACCAAAAGAAAAAGUGUGAGAGAAAGAGAGAAAAGUAAGGGAAAACUAAAUAUAAAAAAAAAUUCAAGGAAAAAAAAUAAGAAAAGUGAGAGAAUAACCUUGUAAACUUACAAAGUCCAACUUAUAAAACACUAAUCUAAGGAAGAAUCAAGUGAAGGAAGGAGGAAUUGAGAGAGGAAAAAAAUUUAAUUACUUUCUUUUCCAGUUGACAUGAGAUUGUUAUUUUAUCUCGGUUGAGGGGUUGUUAUAAUAUUGAUUCAGAUUCGAUUAUAGAUGAAUUAUAUUUUACAAAACAUCGAAGGAUGUAACUUCAAUAGUUGAUUUAUUUUUACUUUCACUUCAAUUUUAUGUACUUUCAAAUUUAUUUUUUAAUAUUUUAGGUAGUGUAUUUGAAUUAAAACUUUACUGUUAACUUUAAAAAUUCAUGUACAUGAGUUAAUAAUUAAUUUUAAAAAUAUAUAUAUAUUUAAUUAAUAGCUCAGGGCAAGAAAAAUUCCUGACUCGCCUUGCCCGCACCCAUUUACAGCACAGGAGCAAGCUCUUACUGGUUCCAAAUUCCAAGCCUUAACCCCAGGGAUGGGUCGACGGUCAGCUUGACUUGCUAGCAAUUGAAUACUAUGUUUUGAAAAAUUGAUCAGGUCGUCUGUAUCCUAAUAACCACCCAGUGGGAUGCCCCGCAGUGUUUAUCGGGCUAAGCAUAUCUUUCCACGAAAAAAAAAUCAAUGUGCAGUCAAUUUAUUAGUAUUGGGAUGAUAGGUGGGCAGUUUUUUUUAUGAACGAAGGCUGGUAGUUAGGUGGCUAGUGCAGAAUUCUGGUAUAUUAAUUUGUCCUGGCUCAGAGAUACUUUUCAUUGUUGAAGCCUGAAGAAGAUGUCCAAUCCUAAACAUGUUUUCCUACAAUAUCUUGGUCCUGUUGGCUACAUCACAGAAACAAGAGCACUGCAAGAGUAAAAUACUCAUCAAUGACAUCAACUUGCAAGCGACAGCCGCGACUGCCACAUCCAACUAUCCAUAAUACCAAAUUUUAUUCUAGGAUUUGUUGGAAUUAUAUAUUUUGGAGAUUUAUAGUUCACCUUUCCAGGUGUUUUUUUAGUAAUGGUCUAUUUACUUAAUUCAUUAGGAUUUAUGCUAAAUAUCCUUGAUUAUAAUAAAUAUAUAUGAAGAAUUAUGGACUACAUGUAUGUUUUGGUUAUUUAAAUGAUGCAAGCUUGAAACCUUUUCUUAUAGGAUUAGGUUUGUUUAUCUAGGAUUUGUUGAUUAGGAAAGAAUUAGCUUGACUAAGAUUGGGUGCUUUAUGUUAAACUUGGAUUAAUUUUUUUGUUUUAAAAGAAAAAAAUCAACAAAAUCAUUUAUUUUUAAGGAUUAACGUGCGUCAAAUUUAUCGACGAGUCUUCUAUUCAUAGGAACCAACAUUAUUUUUAAAAAUAAAUCAUGAAUAAGUUUAGAAAUAUAUCUAAGUAAUUAAUGGCAUGUAUAGAAUAAAUUUAUGAGAAAACACAUAGUAAAAUAACAUUUUUUUUCAUUUGAAAAGAUAUUGUAAAGGUGAUAUUUAUCUUUUCUUAAGCAUAAUUAACUAACUUAGUAGCUGAAUCUUUGAGACCGGUGUCAAUUUUAGAAUUUUUAGUUUUUUUUUUAAUUAUAUCAUAUAUAUUCAUAGUGAUGUGAUAACUAUGUUAAUGUACGAAACCGGGUUAGAUUUAAAAACAUUGUAGAAUAGAUCCCAUGAAAACAUAUAACAUUACUUUAUAUAAUAUUACAUGUGAUGGAAACAGGUACUAAAGCAGGCAUAAAAAAAAGUAAAAAUAACCAUCAUAAUAUUUCAUUACUAAUUAUUUGUCCAUUGCAUAGAGAAAUAACAUAAUAUUAAUGGGUAGAGAUAACAUAUAUAGUAGUGGAUAAUAUAUAUAUAUAUAUAUAUAUAUAUAUAUAUAUAUAUAUAUAUAUAUAUAUAUAAUUUGCAAUAUCAUAGAGGUGAUAUGCAAUAUCUAAACCCUUUCAUGCAUAUAUAAUUAAGGCAAGGCUAGCAACAUAAGACAGCUAAAUAUCCAUUAGAAUUUUAAUGGAGUCUUGAUGACCAGAGGUUUGAACCCAUGUUGGAUACUUGCUUGCCAAACUUUGUCAAUGUCAGCCAUGGUAGAACCGCAUUCAUGCUCGUCCCAUCCUUCCAAGGCAUGCACUAUUCCAGCCACACGCCAUGCGCUCAUCACUCUUCUUGGCAGCCAAUUCUGUCAUCAAGUAUUUUGCAAUACAAAUUAAUUAUCUUUCCUAAAUUAAGAAAAUAAUGCAAAUAGUACUUUAAUUUUCUGCAAUAUUUGACUAAUUAAUUACCUCGCAAGAGUCCACAUUUUCAAGAGAUGCAGGGGCUGCCAUUACUGGUAUGCUGUGAUAGAAGCAAUCCUUGCGCAAUUUCUUUGGGGGAAAUUGCGAGAAGGGAAUAAAUAAUGUUCCUUCUGCUGCUUGUUUUUGGUCCUCUUCUUUCAAUCCAUCCCCAACUAACCACGUCUACACAACAAAGUUUAUUAUGAUAUUAGAAAUGUCAAUAUAUAUAUAUGCUACUUAAAUAAUUUAAGUUGUAAUUUUAUUUUAUUUUUGACAAAAAAAAAUUGAUUUCUAAUUCCUUGGUAGCUAAUGAAAGCAUACCUUUAUUGAAUAACUCUUUGAAAGAAUUAGAUUGUUCUGAUCAGAUGUGAUGCCGAAAGAUUUUUUAAGUUUCUGGUAAUCAUCCUCACAUGGUACAACUACCUAAAAAAUCAGUGAAAAUAAUCGUAAUAAUUAGGAAUUAUAAAUUAAAACAUGACCAUAAAUUAAAUUUGCCUAUACAAUCAAUUUAAAUAAAUUACUGUCAAAUUGAAGCAAGUGACAACCUGUGCCUAUUUGCCUAGUAGACAACAACAAUACCUGGAUUCCCCUCUGGCAGAGAUUUAAAGCAACAGCAUAGGCAACCUUAGAGAGAUUGCCUCUAUGAAGCACUUGUGUUGUUCCUUUAGGUAUGCUAUUCAGCACUGCAGCAACGGCUAGACUGCUUCCAUCCACCACCUUCGUUUUGAGCCUGGGAUGCCUUUGCACAUAAAGUUCACCAUACCUAUUAAGCUCCUCUCCCUGCAUAAUUUAUGUUUGAACAUGAUGAAGAUAUAAUUAAUAAUUUAUGGUAUCCAUGAAAUAUGGGAAAUUGAAAAGAAAAAAAAAAACCCUAUAAACUCAACUACGUGGCAUCUAGUAAUGGCCGUUCUAAAGUAACCACCACUGUUUUUUUUUCCCUAGAAAUGCAUUAUAUUGAAGUGCUUGCCUGAUUCAAGAGACCGAGACUUAACACUUUAACACCUUUUUCCUCAGCUUCAAGUACAGCUUCUUCAAUCAAGGUAUUUAUGGAUACUUUUUGCCAUCGCAAGUUGUACUGCCAAAAAUUAGAUAAGCAAAUUAAGGAGAACAGAUUAAACUGAACGCCCUUGAUUAAUCAAUGACAAAGAAAUAUCCUUCUUAAUUACUUGAAUAUUGUAUUUUGGUAAGGUCCACGUCUGUAAUCUGAGUUUGUGGAAGCGAUUCCUCUCGACAACAAAAGUGCGUCCAUAAGUCCAAGUUAACAUCAUGGUCCACAAGGUCACCGGCCACAUUAACCAUAGAUACCACUUCGAUUCUUGAGGGUUGGAAGCCAAGCAGGCAAGUCCAAGCCGUAAAUGAUAGAUGGAAUCUGGUGUGGUAAGAUGAGUUAGAUGCACUACAUCAGGGGCUUCCUCGGGUCUCUUGAGCGAAUCUUCAUAGAGGGUAACAGAAGACGUGUCCAUUGUGCCAUAGAUGUAAUCAUAGAUGGGCAUGAAUAGUGAGUAAUUGGUUCUGAAUUGAGUGUGGUGAAGAGAGUGGUACCUGCAGCCAUAUCAAGUGUUUAUUAGUUCAUCAUGGAGGGAGUAACUAGUUCUAAACUGGCUUUGGUGAAGAGAGUUGGAACUUGCAGCUGCAUCAAAUGUUAAAUCAUGCAUUCGCGCUUAUCAGAUAUUGUUUUGAACACUGAUUAAUAGACAACGCAAUAAUGCACUGUCAGUGAAAAUAUAGUGGAAAAGGUGAAAUGUACGCGUCAAAGCUAUUAAAAUACAGUAUAAAAUCACAAAACGAUACUAUGGAAUUAUAAUUAACAGAGUAUUUUCCAUAGACGACUGUAUAUUCUUUUCAUCUUCUUUUUAUGCAAAAUUUGGUGAAUCAUUUUCCUGCUUUUUGUUCAUAAGUAUGGAAGAAAUCCCAUUAAUAAAACGAAGAGGAUACUGGUGAGAAUUAAUGAUUGAAAAUGCAAAAAAUCAACUGAGAUACAUCUAGACUUACGAUGGGGUGUACAUGAGGUACUUGAGAGGGGGGAAAAUGAUGAAGAGCCAUCUGGGAAUGAGUUCAAAGUUGCAGUGACCCAUGUUGUUCAUCAAGUCGAUGUAAGUGAUAUAACCAGCAAAGGAUGUUAAAGAGGCUGUCCCCGUCACAAUAGUCGUUAUCAAAGGUAUUGCGAAUAGCAUGGAGUAGGAUAUGUGCUCGGCGAAUGGAUGAAUCACAGCUGCGAUGCAGAUUUCCAGAAAGAAAAUGUCAAAUAAUUACACUUACUGUAUAUCAUCAUCAUGUAUUGCUAAUAGUAAUGGAGAAUGGUAUGCGUUCCCCUCAAUCACACAAGAUUUUUCUUCCGUUAUUAUAAAAAUACUCGAACUUAAAACCUUCUAUGAAAGGUCAAUUAAACUAAGUUUAUCAACGAUCACACAAGAUUAUUAAUAAUUCAAAUGCACACCAUAUAUAAAUGUGUGUCAUUCUUCUUAAGGAGUACUUAAGAGAUUAACUAUUCACUUUGAAAUUCUUAAAUAACUUUUAAACCACCAACACCAUAUAUACAUGGGGGCCGGGGGUGUUUGGAGGGAGACUUACAAGUAAUGGGCUCUGUGACAAUGGAGGAAUGGUGGUGGGAAUGAUAGCGAGAGUAGAGAUAGUGGUGAUGAAGAAGUCGAUGAAGCCAAUAAUACAGAAAUUCCACCGGACCCAUAUGAAUCAGAGCUGUUAGAAUUACACCAUCUAACCUCCACAUGGGGAGAUGGCUAGCUCCUGGAAUUAUUUUGCUACCAACGUAGAAUAAAAUUCCAUUGAACAAUAUUUGGUCAUCCCUGCGGAUAUCCAACCAGAAAAUCCAAGUAUCAAAAAACUCACAAGCACUAGCUAGAGUGGAAAUUAAUGCAUGAAAUUAUUGAAAAAGUAUAUAUAUAUAUAUAUAUAUAUAUAUAUAUAUAUAUAUAUAUAUAUAUAUAUAUAUAUAUUUGAUUAUACAAAUACCAGUUGCUUUCUCUAUCAACUUGAUCAAAUUCAAUGCCUUUGUCAAUAAUCCUGUUAUUUCCUUUGGCUGUUCUGUAACGGGACAGGCUGAUCCAUAACUGGUUGUGAAGCACUCUCCACAACAGAAUUGGGAAAAUGAGAAAGCUUGGGAGAUCUUUUUCAUCUUUAACCAUGAAGGCGUAGAUGUUGUGAAUGACACAAGGAGCCAAUAUUACAUGCUGCAAUAUUUAAACACACAAACAAAACACAGAUAUAUAUUAUUGUUUUAGGGUUAUGAUAUAUUAACGUUGUUUGCACGAAAACGAGUUACUCUACGUGUGAUAUCAGAUAACGAGAAGAAAAGGAGCGAGAGAGAGAGAUGGGAGGGAUUUCCAUAUGACCUUAAAGCUUCCAAGAGGUUUCCAUGGCCAGUCUGUGAGAAUUCCAGGCCGAGAAGCCAUCACUUCACUGCUACUACUUGUCUUUGUUUCCUCGCUUGUAGGGAAGUCGUGUAUAUAUAGACGAUGAGUAAUAUAUUUUCUUUAGCGUUAACGUUAUAAUUAUUGAUGAGUAAUGUUUUUUUAAUAACAGUACUGCCGCUCGAUCAAGUUAGAGCUGAGUAAAUUAUAAAUUAAUCCUUUUAAUUUUGGAAAAUAAAUUAAUUAGUCAUCUUCUUAAAAAAAAAAACAAAUUAUUCAGUUUUUUUUUAUCUAUUAUAUGUUAUUUUCUAAAUUAUGUUUUAAUAAAUAAAUAGAUAUUAUGGAAAGAUUGAUGAGAAAAGUAGAUAUUUUUGUAAAUAAAUUAAUAUGAAAGUAAGCAUGAUUAACAAUGAUAAGUGAUUAAAUAAUUAAAAUAGAUUGGUCAACCAUAUUUGUAAAACGAUACAUGUUUCAAUAUACUAAACUCUCUUGCAGGGUAUUUUUUGUCUUUUUACCAUGCUUUCUUUUUAUUAAUAUCAAGGUUACUCAUGAUGAUUAUUAUAUAUAAUCAUAUAUUAAAUAUUAUUAAAAAAAAUUUAGUUUGUGCGUCGAGCUAAUAAGCAGGCGUCAUGUCAUUUGGACAGUAUAUGUGAGGUCAUGCAGUUAUCAAACACCACCUACUGCAGUAGUAUUUGAAUCAUCUCAGCGUCCUCUCCUUAAAGAGGUGACACGUGUUUCAAACGACCCUUCAGUUUGGCAUCAAUAGUCUUUUCAUCCUUUUCUUUUUCUCUCUAUCUUGAUUUUCGCACUACCCCUUAAAAAUCUUAAAACAUCCCAUUCAAUUUGUAUUAUAUUAAGAUUUUGUUCUUUUUAUUUUUAUUACUAUUUGUUUUAUUUUGAAUAACUUAUAGAAUUAGAAUUCUUUUUCAAUUUCAUCCCCCUUCAAUUUUUUAACCUUUCAAAUUUGAUCAUCAUUCUUUUAAUUGUUGUUUAUUUUAUUUGAGAUAAUUUUUAAAAUUGAUUUUUUUUUCAUUUUAUCCUCCUUGAGUUUUUUCCUAUCAAAUUUGAUCCUCUUUCUUUUGAUUGAUAUUUUUUACUUUGAAAGAAAUUUUAAAUUGAUUUUUUUUUCAAUUUCAUCCUUGAACAUUAAAUUAAUUGGGAAUUGAGCUUUUCAGUUGAGCUCAGGUCUAGGAUUUCAUGGGCUGCAAGUUUUAGAGAUUAGCCAAGGUUUAGAAGGCUUGCUCAGAUUUACUUGAUUUUUUUUAUUCAUUUAGGCUUUUUUUUUAGUUUCAUCCAUUUAUUCAAUUUGAGAUUAAGCUCCAUUAUUUUUAUUUAUUUUAUUUUUUUAGAAUUUUACACUAAUUUUUAAAAUGUACCAGGUUAUUUUAGGUCUUUUUUUAUUUUUUGUUCUUUGUUGAAUUUCUUUUGCUAAUUUUUUAAAUUGAUAAUUUUUUUAUAAUUUCAUCUUUCAAUAUCUAGAAUAAUUUUUUUAUAAAAUUAGAAUUCUUUUUCAAUAUUGUCCUUUUUGAAUUUCUUAAUCUUUCAAAUUUGGUCCUCAUUCUUUUGAUUGUUAUUAUUUUUAUUUAAGAUAAUCUUUUAAAUUAAUUUUUCUUACAAUUUCAUCCUUAUUAGGCUUUUUCUAUCAAAUUUGAUCGCCAUUCUUUUGGUUGCUAUUUUUCUACUUUGACAAAUUUUUCAAAUUCAUAUUUGUUUUUCGAUGUCAUCCUUAAACAUUAAAUUAGUUAAAAAUGGAGCUUCUUGAUUGAGCCAUAGUAUGAGAUUUCAAUGUUGAAUGAUAUUGUGAAUUUCACUUUUGCUUCUUCCAAACAUCAUUUUGAGUUAAAAUUGACUAAAAAAUAUGAAGUUCGAGAGUUGAUAAUAACCGGAGAACUUGAGAAUGUUAUAAAGGCAAAUGAAGCUUCUAUUUUACAUCAACCUGAAACAACUAGUUAGGGUUCUCAUUUUAGUUCAAUAAGGAGUUUAAUUGAGUUAUUUGAAACAAUAAGAACAUUGCUAUUAAAGAUUGAUGAAAAUGGACCAAACUUUCAAUUUCAUACUAAGGCUUUCAAAUAUUAUUUUGCCAUGACAACUUUUGACUUUGUCAUUGUCUUACUUUUUACUAACAAAGUUAUGAGAGUUUAUUGAUUUUCUUUAACAAACGCUUCAAAGAAAAGAUUAGGAUAUUGUAUAUGCUUUAAAUUUUAUUUCACAUUCAAAUUUUCAACUUCAAUGUUUGAGGGAUAGCGAUUGGGAUGAUCUAUUUAAAAGUUUGGUAUUUUUUUAUGAACAACAUGAUAUUGAGAUUUUUGAUAUAAAUUCUCCUUAUUUGUUUGAUACAAGUCAUUCUUAUUAAUAAAGAGAUUCUAAUAUAGUUAAGUAUCAUUAUCAAUAUGAUAUAUUUAACACUGUGUAAUAUAUUUUUAACUGAUGGAGUUAAAUCAUAUAUUUUCAUAAAACACAGUGGAGUUGCUUUAUCUUGGAUCAAUAUUGGAUCAUUUUCAUGCCUUCACAUCAUUUAAAAUUGACGAUACAUGUAAGCUUGCUGAGAAAUUCUAUGCUGAAGAUUUUGCUCUUUUAAAUUUACAUGGUUCAAGAAUACAGUUGGAAUAUUAUAAGUUGUCAAUGGAUCAUCCAAACUUUGAGAAUAUUGAUUAUCUUACUACAUUGUAUCAUCAUUUAGUUGACACAGGCUUGAUAAAUGAUUUCGACUUGGUUAAUAGAAUGAUUCGAAUGGUACUAGCUCUUCUUGUUUCUUCAUCAAUGACUAAACAAACCUUUUCAUCUAUGAAGUUCAUUAAAAAUCAGCUUUGAAGUAAAUUGGCCUCUUUAGGCCGACACCAGCGCCGUCUCGUUGCCAUUAAGCCUGAGCUGUUCACAGUUGUAGAGAAAUUAAUUCCAUUUGCGUGAGUAGUAUUAAUCAAGAUAAUAAAUUUCAAACACCAUCAUCUUCUGGCGACCCUCGUCUGGUACAGCGGCUUAAGGAAAAUAGGAAGCCAAUGAGCUCAAGCAAAUGGACAUGUCCUUCAAACACGAGAGCACCUGCUAUUGCCCGGUCAUUUUACAUGGUCCCACCUAUGCUGGCGAUUAUUCAAUUCUUUUUUUUUAGUUUAACGUAGGUGUCCGGAUUAGCUUGCAUGUAUUUCGACUAAUCCCACGGGUCCUGAAGUUAACGACCAUGUAAGCCUCCAGUGGCCAUCAUAUGAACAACCACAGGGCUCGAACCUGAAACUACAGAGAAAGCAAACCUCUUGGUCCCAAACUUUUACCACUGGACCACCACCUAAAUGGUUGCGAUUAUUCAAUUCUUAUUGUGAGUUUCGUGAACCUUAUAGAAUUGUUUACUCUCCUGUUGGCUUGAAAUGAUUUUUCUGAUGAGUAUCUCAUAUGCAUUAAAUAAGUGGAUUUCGUUAAUCAUUCAUAUAAAACUAAUAGUUGGUUUUUUGGUAAGUAAAUUCUGUAAAAUACUUAUAUAAAAAUAGCAUUAUUUAUUAUAGAAAUGUGAUGUAAAUGUCAUUGGUUCUAUUAUGUUAAUGGGUUCCUGAAAAACUCUAACAAGUUUUUUUUUUCUUUUUAAUUACAAUGAACUAGAAAUCUUAAGUUGCAUGUAUAUAAAAUUAGUUUAAAAAGUGAUAAGAAUAUUUUUAUAUAAAUUUUUUUAUUUGUAUUAUUUUAAUUUUUUUUAAGUGAAGUUUAAAAAGUAAUUAAUAGAUAUAGUUGGUUAUUCAUUGAGUACUAUAAUUGUUUUUUGAACGCUUGAAUUUAUAUUGAUAUAGAAAAGAAUGAAGUUUCAAAAAUUGUGUAGUAUUUAUUUAAUCUUAAAUUUUAAAAAAAUGGAUAGAGAGAUGACAUUAAAAGUUUUUAGGUAAUUAGAUUAUGAAAACUUUUUUGUUUUUUUGAACGCAUCAAGAGCACUGAAAAACUAAUAAUAUUGUAACAUUAAAGUAUAUGUCUCGGUAUUGUAAAAACCGGAAGUAAUUAUAGCAAUUAAUAAAGGUACUACAUUAAAAAAAAAAAUAAGAGGAUGUUUUUCAGGGACAUGCGAGCAGGCUGUCUUUUCUCACUUUAAUAUUUCAUCAGAAAUAACAUCUCAAUAUAUGCCAAUAAAUGUGAGGGUGCGUGCGUUUUCUGGUUAUUCAACCUGGAUCAGCCUGAUAGGUGAUCCGAGACUUGAUUAAUCUAGUAGUUGAACCAAUUUAGAUAAGUUAAAAGAUUAGGGUAAGUAAAAACCCGGCAAAACCCGGAUGACCCCUCAGGUUAACUUGUAAGCCGGGCAACCCGGCAAAACCCAGUUUUUUUUUUUUCAAAUGUGUUUUUUUUUCUAGCCAAAGACCCCUCUUUUUUAUAUAUAUAUUUGGUUAAUUAUUAACCCUUUUCAAAGUUCACUAUAUAAAUACUAGAAGAAUGUUUUAUUUUUUCAAUAUGAGAUUUGAAACCUUUUAAUAUAUAUAUAUUCUAUGUUUACAAGAAAAAAAUUAUUUUUUCAAUAUGGGAUUUGAAGCUUUUUAGUAUAUAUAUUCUAUGUUCACAAGAAAAAAAGUUAUGUUUUUUCAAUGUGGGAUAAAAAACCUUUUUGGUUUAAAUACUUCAACUUAAAAGGAUAACAUACUAACAUAGUUUCUUUUGAAUGUGAGAUAAAAAAAUCUUUUGAAAUAAUUUUUUAAUCUUUAUUAUUGAUAAUAUGUAUAGUUGUCACUGGGUAAAUUUUUCGCUCCACAAAUAAACCCGUGUGGCAGCCUAGUCCCCACUAGACUCAGCCUUUCCUCACAAAUCUCACUCGUGUUUGCCUAGUAACUAAGUAUUUCCCUCACUCAAGAGGUUUUCCCCACUUUCACUAGUUAAAAGACAAGCAGAAUACACAAGUAAAAUAAGUUAAUUAAAGUACACAACAAACUUUACAUGAACUAUUUCUCAACCUUUAUUAAUCUCGUAAACAAAGGAAACACUAUACACAAAUCCCAUGUGUGCUAUGCACAAAGAUUGCAUGCUACACCAAGCUUACAUGCUCUAUUUCAUGCUCCUACAUGCUCUCCCAACCAAGAGUUGCAACAACUAUUUAUAGACAAGCAUUUACAAGGGAUAAUUUUAGCUGACUUUGGACCCGAUUUUCUCCUCUCUCAGACCCUCAAAAUCACCUUUAUUUAUAGAUGAUGGAAGAGGAAAAUCUUGUCUACACUUGGGGAAAAUUUCAGCCCAUAAUUCACUUGGAAAAAAUCCUAACUGUUGGUUCAAAAUAAGAAUUCUGAGUUGUCAAAUCUGCAGAAAAAACAAACUGAAUUGCCCUCUUUAGACCGGCACCAGCUCCGUCUCGUUGCCAUUAAGCCUGAGCUGUUCACAUGAGGUUGUCGAGAAAUUCCAUUUGUGUGAGUAGUAUUAAUCAAGAUAAUAAAUUUCAAACACCAUCAUCUUCUGGCGACCCUCGUCUGGUACAGCGGCUUAAGGAAAAUAGGAAGCCAAUGAGCUCAAGCAAAUGGACAUGUCCUUCAAACACGAGAGCACCUGCUAUUGCCCGGUCAUUUUACAUGGUCCCACCUAUGCUGGCGAUUAUUCAAUUCUUACUUGUAAGUUUCGUGAACCUUGUAGAAUUGCUUACUCUCCUGUUGGCUUGAAAUGAUUAAUUUUCUGGAUGAGUAUCUCAUAUGCAUUAAAUAAGUGGAUUUCGUUAAUCAUUCUCAUAAAUCUAAUAGUUGGUUUUUUGGUAAGUAAAUUCUGUAAAAUACUUUUAUAAAAAUAGCAUUAUUUAUUAUAGAAAUGUGAUGUAAAUGUCAUUGGUUCAAUUAUGUUAAUGGGUUCGUGAAAAACUCUAACAAGUUUUUUUUUUUUUUUAAUUACGAAGAACUAGAAAGUGAGAAGAUUGGACUUAAGUUGCAUGUAUAUAAAAUUAUUAUAAAAAGUGACAUGAAUAUUUUUAUACAGGAUUUUUAUUUUUAUUUUUAUUUUUUUAUAAUGAAUUUUAAAAAAUAAUUAAUAGGAUAUCACUGGUUAUUUAUUAAACAUAAAAAAAUUUAUUUUUGAAAUCUUAAAUUUAUAUUAAUGUGGAAAAAAAUAAAGUUUAAAAAAUUAUGCUAUGUUUAUUUAAUCUUAAAUUAAAAAAAUAAAAUUAAAAAAAUUAGUGUUCACGUUAACAUGAACAGUGUGAGUGAAUAUUAAUUAAUUCAUUGUCUAUUUUUUAAAAAAAAAUAAAAUUUAAAAAAUUAUGCCAUGUUUAUUUAAUUUUAAAUUAAAAAAAGAAGAUAAAGAGUUCACAUUAAGAGUUUUUAAGUAAUUAGAUUAUGAAAACUUUUUUUGUUUUUUUGAACACAUCAAGAGCACUGAAAAACUAGUAAUAUUGUAACAUUAAAGCAUACGUUUCAGUAUUUAGUAUUGUAAAACUGGAAGUAAUUAUUAACAAUUAAUAAUUAACGGCACUACAUAUGCGAGCAGGCUGUCGUUUCUCAUUUUAAUUAUUUCAUCAGAAAUAACAUGUGCCAAUAAAUGUGAGGGUGCUUUUUCUGCUAGCUGCGGCAAGGUUUGUUGCCGACAGUGAUUUUGUUUUCUUUUUUUGUUUUUUUCCUCAUCUUACACUGUUAUUCAAAAUUUUUAGAAUUGUCGUUGCCCGCAUUUUAACUUUGGAUUUUAUUUUUGUUUUUAUCUCUUUUAUAAAAUCUUAAUUUAUUUUAAAUUUUAUUAUUUAAUUUUAAUUUGUGAUAUAUUAUUUUUUUCAAUUUAAUCUUUAUUUUUUUAAUUAUUUUUUUUUCAAGUCCUUUUGUUAAAUUGAUUUUUCUUUUUGGUUUCAUACUUCAAUCAAAAAUUUAUUUUAAUUUUUAUUUUAAUUUUGAUCCUAAUUAUUUUGAUUGUUUUUUUAUCCUUUUGUUAAAUUAAUUUUUCUUUUUAAUUUUAUCCUUCAAUCAAAAAUAAAAUUUAUUCUUUAUUUCAAUUUUGAUCAUCAUUCUUUUAAUUGUAACCUUUUGUUUUGGAUCCUUAUAUAUAAUUGAAAUUUCUUUUCUAAUUACAUCUUUUAAAAUUUGAUUUAUUGAGAAUUGAGUUUUGUGGUUUUUAGAUUGGGUGCUCGGAUUUUCUCUACUUAUUUUAUUUUCGACAUUGGUUUCUUCAAAAAGACUUUAAAAAUAAAUCAGUUAAAAUUAAUUAUAUUUUUAUAUAUUUUUAAAUCAUUAAUAUGUUAAUGUCAAAAAUAAUUUUAAAAAAUAAAAAGUAUAUUAUUUUAAUAUAUUUCUGUGCAAAAAAUACUUUGAAAAUAACCACCAUCACGCUUUCAAACACUUAUAUAAUGAACCAAGCUUACUAUUUUAUAUUUCUUUGUGGAGUAGAAAUCCAUCAAGUGAUCCCUCAAGUUUUAAAAAUUAGCUAAAUCACCCUCUUUAUUUCAAUUUAUUUUAGGAUUUCUUUUCUCUUUUUUGUUAUUAUAAAGGAGAGAUUCAAACUUAAAGCCUCUUAAAGGAGAGAAGACAGUGAUACUAAUUGAGUUACAACUCUCCUUUUUUAUAAGAAAAUAAAUUAAUAUGAGAUGUUAACCCUCGUGUUUUGAAUUUGUAGUCAAGCAUGUAUGGUCAACCCUGGCGACUACAAACUGAACUGUUGUGCCUAAAAUUAAAGUGUAAUGGUCGAUUUAAUCAAUUUCCAAAACUUGAGGUAUCAAGACAUGAAUUUACUUUUUAGAAGAAAAAAGAAUACAUCGAAUGACCCUUCUUGUCGUAGUUUUGAAACUCGGCCCGGCCCGGCGGGUUGACCUGGGGCUGGAACCGAUCCGGGUUAAAGAAAAAAUGGGGGAAGGAAAAACUCGGUGUGACCCGGCGGAUUGACCCGGCGACCCAGUCAAGACCCGGUUGCAAACCCGUUGACUUUUGCUUUUUUUACUAAAACGACAUCGUUUUGAUUUAAAAAAAACUGACCCAGCCAACCCGGUGAUCUGGUCAAAAUUCAGAACCCGAGCCUUAGACCGGACCGGCCACCUGACCGGGUCUUAAAACUACGCUUCUUGUUUUGAGAGUGAAUAAUCAUACUCGUAGAAGUUUGGAAGCAUUUCCAUUUAUUCCCAAAUAAUCAUGCCAUUCACAUAUACUUAUCGUGUCUACUUGUAAUGUAUAUGUAAUAGUGAAUGUACCCAUGCCACGCUUUUGGUGGAAUUCCAAGUUAAUUUCAAAUGCAAAAGGAGAAUAUGCAUGUACUAUAUUAUAGAUGUGUUUUUUAAUCUCAUAAAAUUUGUUAAUUAAGGAAGGAAGGUUUAAUACAAUGAAUUGAAAAAAAUAUAUUAAUAGGUAAAUAAAAAAAUUAUGAAUGUUAAUUAAACAUUUAAUGUUAUUUUUUAAAAAUAAGAAGUAAAAUACAAAUACAAAUACAAACAUUUUACAUCGAUAUUAUUUUUAUUUUAUUUAUUUAUUCUGAAGCUAUGAUUACUAAAUACAUAUGAAUUUUAAUUUUAUAAAUACAAAAUACAGAUAUAACUAAUCUAUCUUAAAUCUAAAAUCAAAAAUCAAAAAUAAAUUAUAAUAAUUUUUUUUUGAGGUAUUGCAAAAUUAUAGAAACCAACCAAAACUUUUAUUUCUAUUAAAAAUAGUCAAACUAAACAACUUUAAAAAUGAGAAAGAGGAAAUUAAUUAAGAAUUAAACUAGAAAAAAAAACCAAUGAAAAAAAAAAAAGUCAAGGUUACUGGACCUAGAAGACUAAGUCCACUCACUUAACCUAAAAAGAAAAGGCCUAUACGGCCCGGUUCUCUAUUUUUUUUUUUAAAGAUAGGUAACAUGUUUUCUUUUCAAAUAUUUUUUUAAUUAAUCAAACGACAUGUCAUCUAUCUAGAUCGACAACAUAUCAUUCAUCAUUAUCUUAUCUAAUCACCUUCAAUGAUUGAAAAAUUAGAGUUUGACUUUUUGUAUUCACAAAAACAAUUUUCAACUUGUUUUAUAAAAAACACCCCUAAAAUAUUUAAAACUUCCAUAAACUCAUUCCAACCUCAGAACAUCAUCUAAUCACUAUAAAAAAUGAAAAUCUAAUAUAAGAAUAAAAAUGCUUUACGGACCUAGUCAUCCUUUUCUAGCAUGUUUAAAGGGCAACAUACCACCUUCAUUCUAUUUAAAAUAAACCAAUUAACACCAAAAUCAGUCUUUUGUGUUCAUAAUAUGGCUUACCAUACCAUUUCUCUUUCCUUUACCUUUUUCCAACAACUUUAUCUCCCCUUCCUCUGCAUCCAAUGUCUGAAAUGUAAAAGAAAACAAAUUAAAGUUUAAGAUUGAAAUAUAAGAACCUAAAACAACAAAAUUCAAAUAUGCAAAAAUUUAAAAAAAAAAUAAGACAUUAAAGUGAAUUUUCUCGUGUCUUUGGAUAGUAAACACGAAGAAAAGGCUUUAUUUUUUAUUUAUUUUAUUUUUGGUAAUUAUUCUAACUUUUUUGAACAAUAACCUAAAAUUCCAUUUUAUAAAAUUGUUCUUUCAUGUAAUAUCAAAAUAUUCUUUAACAUCUCGCACACACGAAAGUAUGUGAAUAAAAAAAAUGUCAAAAUAUAAAAUCAUGAUAACAUAACUUUUGAGGACGAGAUUAAAAAAAAACUCUUAAUGAUCAAAACAAAAUGAACUAAAAACUUGAGGGUCCUAGAAUGAAAAAUUGUCUAAUAAACUGGGAAAUGAGUGUUGAUAAGAACAAUGAUUUCCUAGAAUUUUUUAGUUUAUUAAGUAAUAAUUACACAAAUAAAUAUUUUUUUUUUGGGUUACAACAAAUAGGUGUUUUAAUACUUAAAAGUUAUUCAAAUAUCAAAUGUAAGAUUUGAUAAGAUCCAUUCCUAUAUUUGAACAAAUUAUAUCUCUUUAAAUCAAAAUUAAUUCCUUAUGUAAUUUCCCACAUAACAAAUACAAGUUAUACAACAUAUGAAACAAGAUGAAUAUAACUUGCUUGGAUUAGCUUGAUAUGGAAGUAGGGAUGAUAAUGGAUGGAAUUAUAGUAAUUUACUUCCUAUGUUGUGUAUCUUUUCUAUUCGUUCAAAUUAGAUCAGAUUGAAGAAUUUAUUCACUUAUUAAGUAAUCAUUAUCCAUUCUAAUUUGUUUUUCUAUUUAAAAAUGAAUAAUUAUGUUAUUUUUAAAAACCAUAUGAAAUCACAUAGUUAAAGCAUUGAAAUAAAUAAAUAUUUAUUCAUAAAUCACAUUAAGAUAAAAUACAAUAAUAAAAAAAUGUUAAGUGAUAACAUAUGAAAAUCUCCAUUCCUCCCUUCAAGGUAAAAUCAAGUAUAAUUCAAUCCUUUUAUUUUAAUGAAACUAAUUAAUUAUCAUCAUGAGUUUAGAAACUAUAUAUUCAAUCUUAAAAUUUUAAAAUAUGUUUAUGCAUUAAUAAGAUGGACAAUCCAUAAUCCUUUUUUUAUCUUUCUAAAGCUCAUGAUUACACCUCUAAACACUAUAAGAACUGAGGUAUUCACUGUUAUCAAACAAAAAUAAUUUGUCACAGUAAAGAAAAAUCAAUUAAUCUUAAAAAAAUACUUCCCCAUUUGCCUCAAAUAAAGAUAUGUUUAUUGAACAAACAAGGUUUUUUAAAGAGAGGGCAAAGAUAUAGACUAAAGCCAUGAAAAGAAAACCAAUCGACCUCUAUGAAAUAUGUUUUCAUUUACUUUAAAGAUAAGAAAACUAUGUUUAUAAAACAAAUAAGGCCUCCAAAAGAGAGACCAAAUAUAUGGAUUGAAGCCGUAAAGGGAAAACUAAUUAGCCUUUAGGAAAUGCGCCUCCACUUUUCUUAAAGGUAAGAAAACUAUAUUCAUGGAACAUAUAAGGCCUCUAAAAAAUAGACUAAAGAUAUUGACUAAGGUUGUAAAAGAUGAAAAAGAAAUAAGUCUCUUUGAACAUGAUACUAGUGUAAUCAUUAAGAUUAGAUUUGCAUUAGACAUCGGGUAGGAGAAAGCCAUCACGAAGCUUUUUAAAAUUCAAAGGGCUAAUUUUACUUUUAAUCCCUCUGAUAUUCUAAGUAUAGGCUAGGAUGUGGUCUCCCAUAGAUCAAACGUCAAUUUAUCUCUCAUUGUUACUAGACAAAAAAAGAGUUUUAAAGGGAAAGAUAAAAGGUCAUAAUCGAGGAGGUAGAUAAGUUGCUAGAAGCAUGUUUCAUUUGAUAAGUAAUGUACUCUAAUUAGCUUGCCAAUAUGGUUAUGGUGAAAUAAUAGUCUUGAAAGAUUAUCAUGUCCUUUUUCAGUCGUUGAUCUGCACCCAUUGCAUCUCCUCGUUUGAUGCUAUUAUAGUAUAAGAACAGUUGGCUUGGAAAACUAGUUUUGAUGUGGAUUUUUUGCUCUAUAUAGCAGUAUGUUCAGUGCUGCAAAAUGGUUAUUAUUUCAUUCAGGCAAGAGUACAAAGGACAAGGUGUAAAGGGGGGGUUUGUCUUGUGUAAAGGAGAAAAGAGCGAGUUUUAAACCUUGCACACACACACAGAAAGAGAGAGAGAGAGAGAGAGAGAGAGAGAGAGCAGUUGCCCAUUCAUUCUGUCUCACGGGAAGUUGAAGACAAUCUAUAGUGCUUCCUAAAAUAUAUAUAUAUAUAUAUAUAUAUAUAUAUCAAAACGAGUCGUUUCAUUUAAAUGAAACAGUAUCGUUUUGACGCUUAAUGUUUGAAUUAGGUUAAUUCUUCUUUUUCAAUUUCAAUCUUCCAAUUUAUUCAAUUAGGUCUUUAAUUGAAUUUUAGGAAUCAAUUCAAUUUUACCCCUGUACAGUUUCAAAAACAUCCCCUGAUUUCAGUAUGUUUUUCAUCUUGGUCCUUGGUUUUGGAUUUAUAAAAAUUGAUCCUCAAUUGAUCAUUUAACAUUUGAUUUUCUUCAAUUUGGCCCAUGAUUUUAUCGAUUUCAGCCCCUGAAGUCUCGCGCCUCUAACAAGUCGAUCCCUGAUCUUGAAAUUCUUUGAUUUUGCUCUUAAUUGACUCCAAAACUUUAUUUUUCUUGAAAUGUUGUCCUUAUUUUCACCCAAAUGACUUUGUAGAAAUUAAAUUUUGUCCUUUAAAAUUCUAAUCUUCUCAAUUAAGUCCAAAUUAGGCUUUCAAUCUUAAUUUUUCAUCAAUGAAGUCUCUAGUAAAAUUAAAUUGACCCAUUAAAAAUCUAAUUAAAUCCUUGCACUUAAUUAAAUCUUUUAAUUUGACCCAAAUUAAUUCUUAAACUUAAUUAAACCUUUAAUUGGAGCCAUGAUUAAAUCAAAUUGACCUAUCAAAAGUCUAUUAAGUCCUCAUACUUAAUUUUUAUGUAAAUUCACCUAAUAGUCAUUUAAUUUGGCCUUAAUUUGUAUUGUCUCUCAGUCUUGGAUUCAAUUGGUUUAAUUGGGCUCCAAAUUAUGUUCAAAAUCCCAAUUUAAUUCCUCCAAGUGCUUGAAAUCCUUCUUAGCCUACUCUUACUAAUAUUUUUUAUUUUCAUUUUCAUUGUUAUUUUUUAUUACUUCUUAUUUUAUUUUAUUUUUUUGUAUUUUGAAAAUAUUUAGAAACAGGGAGUCAAAAAUUGGGUUAUAAAAAAACCAUAGUUUCCUUAUUUCUAUUUUGUGUAUCAGAUCUAGAACACCUUCUAAAACGUUUUGACACAAAUUAUUGAAAGAAUGCCCAAUUACUCUUUGUGAAAUACCUCGGUUUAAUCUUUUCCACUUUUCAAUGUCAUGUUAGAGCUAACUUUUCUAAUUACUUGUUUAUGGGUAUCGUACCACAAAUCAUGCAACCUGUUAUAGAAAUUUGUUAAACAAAAAAGAGGCAAGGAAAUAAAAGAAUACAAGUUUAUAAUAAUAUAACAUCAAUUAGUUUAAACAUACCUAGUUGCACAAUGGUUUUCCCACAGUCUUUUAACAAGUGCCUUGUUGCUAUUGUCCCACCAAAAAAAUUUCUUAAUUGAUUUCAUACAUUAAUUAGUUUUCAAAUUUUAAAAAACUAGUAACUCAAAAUAGAUAUUAUUUAAUUAUCUAACCUUAAACUUUCUCCAUCAAACAUUUACCAUGUUCAUCCAUUCAGGAUGCUUAUAAAGCUCACUCUAUUAAACAAUGGUUCUUUAAACAACCACUUCAUUGUAGAGGUUAUCGAACAUGCAACUUCAAUAUUGGUGAACUUGAAAACCAUUUCAUCAAUGUUAUUUUCAUGUAAUAUAAAACUUAAAAUAACUUAAUAGAAUAAAUAACUUCAAUAUUGAGAUAAAUAUUAAUUAUAUACAAUGGUCGCCUUUCCAUUAUGCAAUAAUUUUGUCUGAAAAAGGCCCUAACAAAGUAGGGAUGCCUACUAUGUUAUCCUUAUUGGUUGAGCCUUGAUCGGUAACUUCUACAUUAAGUGGUGUGUCCUUAUAAUCAUCAUCUAUAUUAGCAACACAAUCACCGACACUAAUACUUGAUAAAGUAGUAGCGCUCUUAUUAGACUUAGACAUAUUUCUUCUUGAAUAUAUGGUACCUAAAAAGAAACAAUAACAUAAUGACAACACAUACUCAUGGAAUUUAAAUUCAAACUCAUACAAGCCAAAUUUUAUUUUGUCAAAUUUUCUAAUAAACAUGCUAAGAAAAUUAACACACAAAGAGAGAACAUAAAACAAAAACUAAAAUAUUCAAAUAUGACUCUAUAACCAUAUCAAAAUAGCAUCUCACUUCAUCAAAAAACCAAUUAUUACAUUUCCUUUCAUAGAUAACACAUCUAAAUUAGUAAAAGCCUUCACCUUUUUAUUUGUGCUACUCCACAACAAGUACAUUUAAGGAAUCCAAAUCAAGCAAAAAAUGAUAACAUUAUCCCUACAUAUAAAAAAACCAUAAUUUCUCAUUUUUCCCGUACUUUCUUAGCUACCAAACAAAUAGGUUACUUACAGAAACAACAAAAAAUAAAUUAUAUUACUAAAAACAAUCUCUACCCCCUCAAUCACCUAAACUUAACCAUAAAUUAUCUUCUCUUCACUUCACUAUUGUCAUAACCCAUUUUUGGGUUAUUUCCUAAUUCAUAUUUUUUUCUCUCUUCAAAAAAUACAAAAAAAUAAAAAAUAGUAUCAAAAAAUAUAACAGUGAAAAGAGGAUGCUAGAACACUAAAAAAAUGGUUAAAAAUUGGUUGAGGAGGUUCAAAACUACAAAGGUUAAAAUUUUACGGUAUUUUGUUGAUUGAUGAGAGCCCUGUUGACAAAGAAAAUUCAAUUUGAGGAUGAAAAGUCCAAAAUCAAACAUUUAUGGACUCAAUUAAAUUUUAUUGAAGGUUUAAUUGAAUUUAUGGAGAAUUUGAUUGCAAGAAAAAUUGAUUUUUGGAGUGAAUUUGGGCUUUAAUUGGAAGAAAUUAAAGUUUUGUGGUCAAAUUAUAAUUUUUUAGAGUUAAUUUGGUCAAAUCAGGGGCUUAAUUGCAUAAAUAUUGAAGUUUGAUGGUCAAUUAGAGACUUAAUUGAAGAAAUCAGAAACCAAGGACCAAAAUGAAAAACACGCGUAAAUAGAGGGGCUGUAAUUAAACCGAAUCAGGGGCCAAAUUGAAGAAAUUAGAGUUUAUUGAUCAAUUGAGGGUUAAAUUGCAUAAAUUAAAGACCCAAGACCAAAGUGAAAAUGGCGGCCAACUUCAGGGCCACUGUUUUCUUUUUGGCAGGGAUGCAAUUGCAUUAAUUUUUAAAUCAAAAUUGUAAUUGAGGACUUGAUUGAACAAAUCACAAAUUGAGAACCAAUGUGAACUCUGACACGUUUUUUUUUGCCGCCUUUUCCUUUUAAAUGAAACGGUGUGUUUCUUCUAAAACGGCGUCAUUACAUACACUAUUCAUUAAAAAAGAAGCAAAAAGCUCAAAACGGUGUCGUUUUGAACGACAGUGUAGCCUUUCUUGUUCCCCUGGACGCGCGAGGCAGGGGAAGAAGAAGUCUUUUCUCCCCUGCUUUGCUCGUUCCCUCUUUCUCCGAAACCACCAAAAAGACGCCGACCCAAAACACCCCACUUGCCUAAGUUCUGACCUGUGGCCUACCACGAGGUAAAGAAAAACAGAGGGGAUGCACCACUUGGGCGGUUGUGAGGUCGCUGCACAGUGGUCGCCCCUGCCUCUCUCUCCCCUCUGUUUUACCUAUAAAUACAGAGGGGGAGAGCACAAAAGGAGAGCACGAAAAGGACAGGGGGAAAGACCGAAAGAAAGAAAAAACAAGAAGACCCAAAGAGGAAGAAAGGUUGGAAGAACAAGAGAAGAAAAAAAAGAAAAAAAAGAGAGAAAAACAGGGGAAGACAAGGGGGAAGAAACUGUCCACCGCCUGCAACCACCACCGGCCACCACAGCAUGCCAUCGCGAACCACCAGCAGUGCCACCGCUUCAGGUAACUGGCUCUUCCCCACCGUUUGUUUCUUUGCCGGCGUCGCUUGCAUUUUUGUAUACAGAAUGUUAAUAUUUCACGUUCUGCUGCAAAAUGCAACGUGGGCUGGUCAUUAUGCUGAUGCACAGUAACCAGCCCAUUUGGGCAUGGGCCGAGACAUCAGCCCAGCCCAUAGUAGAUGGGUUGGAUCCGGCCCAGCCCAGAAGGGGGUGGGCCAAGCCCAACCCAGUUUUUUUGGGAAUUUUACUAUUUCCUAUCUUAUUUUUACGUCUUUUUUUAUUAGUAUCGAAAUAUUUUUUUACGUCGUUAAAAAUACAAAUCCGGUAUUAAAAUACCUAGUUUUCGUCAACUUAAAAAAAAAUUGAAAUAAAUGUUUUUAUGCAUACGUCCAAGUGUCUCAAAGCUAAAAAAUCAUAUUGUGUUUUUCAUACACCAAAAAAACAAUGUUAUAGCAUGCAUUUUGGCUUUAAUAACCAGUUUAUUAAAGUCAAGAGAACAUUGACCAAAAUAUAAAAAAAAAAGAAUUUAUUUUGUGUUGUUUUAGUAUUAAGGAUUACGAAUUUAUAUGUAAAACAUAUUCCCGAUAUUAAAAAGGUAUUUUCUUUUGACGACAUAGAACAGUUAGGUUUUUACCCGAUAAGAUAAGGAUCUCCUUACAGAGGAGGACUUUUCUUAAAUCGUAGACAGACCGACAAUUAGAAACCAUAACAAGACUUUAGAUUUUAUCAGACAACAAAACAAUGCAGCUUACCUUAGAUAGCGCGUAGUUGGAGUGCUAAUACCUUCUCUUUACGCAACCAGUCUCCGUACCUGAUCUCCGAGACCAGUUAGGGUUCUUAGUGACCAGAACACUAGGUGGCAACUCUCAUUCUAUUUUUACUGAUAAGAGACAAGAAUUCCUUGUAUCUUCAUAUUUGCCAGAUAGACCUAUAGACCAUUACAUUUUUCUUUGAGUGGGUGGACGAUCGUCGCAACGCUGAACACGUGCGACAACUAUUUAACCAACCAAGAAACCAUUUUUGAUACUUAAACAAACUCUUUUACGAAGAUCUCAAAAAUUCACUAAUCUCUUUUUCUUAGUUAGCUAAAUACUUAAACUAUAAAUUAUAAAUCAUUACCCCACUUUUCCACCAACCAACCAAGAACCCAAAUCAUCAAUAAAAAUAAUCCUCCACUAAACCAAGUAAAAAAAUAAACAUUUAAAACAAUACCUAAAAUUCAAAAAACAAUCUUCCUAUAUUACCAACAUGCAAAAAUUAACAAAACCCAUAAAAACCUAAAUCACAUAAACCAAAUAGCAAAUAAAUUACCUUCAAAUCGGGUAAAAACCAUAACCUAAACUUAGGAUUUAACAAUGCCAAGUCCUAAGUUUAUUAAAUGAAGAAGAAGAAAUCAAACCUCAGAUGGGUAGAAAAGAGGUAUUGUCGACGUCGGAUGUGUGAGUGGGGUAGGGGUAAGAUAGUUACUGUUGUUGUUUUGAUGAUAAUGAAUAAGAAAAAGAAAAAGAAGAAGAAAAAGAAAAAGAAAUUGGAAGAUGAGAGGAACUCUGAGUUUUAAUUCAUUUUAAAAACAUCAAUGAAAAAUCAUUUAGCAAUUUAAAAAUAUUAAAAUACCAAUGUAAUUGUCGACAAAAUAUUUUUAUUUUUUAUUCCGUUUUUGUUCCCAUAAAAAAUUAUUGAAGAAAAUCUUUCAUCGUAAUUUCCAUCAGUAAAUAAUUAUGAAACAUUUUUUGUCAUGUUUUUGUUAUUAGUGCAUGCCCACAUCUAUUUGUUUUUGUUACUAUUCUCCAAUUUUUUAGUGGUGUAUGCUCACGUCUAUGAGCAAGUUGGUUUGUUUUUGCAAGUAUAAAUACUUCAUGAAAAUGUCCGGCAAGGGAGGACACAAAAAAAGAAAUAGAUAGACUCCUACAAGGAGAAAACAUUCUCAUGUGCGGAAAGGUCCAGAAUCCAUCAAGGUUUUCAGCAAGGAAGGAAGAUGAUAAAAACUCUUGCUUAAAAUGAUUCAUGCAUGCAUGUCAUAUAAAAAAGAGAAAAGAAGAGAAAACUCUUUUGAGAGACUACGACCGUGUCUUCAUCACAAAAUUGAAAAUUGAUUAUCAUCUUUAUAAAUUUAAGAACUCGAGGUCAGUCUGUGAAUUUAAUGGAAAUUAAUGCAUGAAAUUAUUGAAAAAGUAUAUAUAUAUAUAUAUAUAUAUAUAUAUAUAUAUAUAUAUAUAUAUAUAUAUAUAUUAAGGCAAGAGACGAUAUACAUGUAAAUACUCUUAUAUACUAUUGUAUAUAGGAAAUAUUGUAGACAUACUCUUGUGUGGUAACCUCCGCCAUUACUAUUGUAUAUUGCCCUACAUAUAUAUAGAAAGGGUUGGCUAACCAUUAAGUUAAGCCUUCUAAUUAUUCUCAACUUGGUAUCAGAGCCUUUUGCCGUCAGAACUCCUUUCUCCCUCCCUCCCUUUGCAGCCGGCCCUCUCUCUCUUUUUCCUCCAUGGAUUCUACAGCUGCCGCCAACUUCCCUCUCUCCACCGGUGGUGCAGCACAGCCGGCCAGCCAUCCCCAAGCUGCUGCCGGUGGUAUCUUUUCUCCCUAACAGCAGCCUCCACUUGCAGAGCAUGUCUCUGAUUCUUCUUCACAAGUCUCUGUCGUUCCUUUGCCUCUCAUGGGAACACACACUCCAGCUAUCGUUCCUUUAUCAAACACCCACCAAGUUGUUUCGUUGAAACUUAUAAACACAAAUUAUCUCUAUUGGCGAAUGCAGAUGAAGCCAUAUCUCCUUGGUCAAGGUGUUUUUCACUUCGUUGACUGCUCCGUGCCGUGUCCUCCAUCUCAUAUUUUUGACAGUUUUGCUGGUUCUUCAUCUACCACCAGCCCUUCUUUUCUUCGUUGGAAGCAACAAGAUCAACUUAUUUUGAGUGCUUCACUCUCCUCUCUCUCUGUGGAUGUGUUGCAUCUCGUGGUAGAUUGUUCUACCUCGCAUUGUGUUUGGCGCACUUUUGAGAAAGUGUUUGCCUCUCCGUCUUAUUCUCGCAUCAUGCAACUCCAUGGCUCCUUUCAAGACCUUCGUCAAAGUGACUCAAAUGCACACCAUAUAUAAAUGUGUGUCAUUCUUCUUAAGAAGUACUUUAAGAUAUUAAUUAUUCACUUUGAAAUUCUUAAAUAACUUGUAAACCUCCAACACCAUGGGCCCGGGGGGUGUUUGGAGGGAGACUUACAAGUAUGGGCUCUAUGACAAUGGAGGAAUGGUGGUGGGAAUGAUAGCGAAAGUAGAGAUAGUGGUGAUGAAGAAGUCGAUAGAGCCAAUAAUACAGAAAUUCCACCGGACCCGUAUGAAUCAGAGCUGUUAUAAUUACACCAUUUAACCUCCACAUGGGGAGAUAGCUAGCUCCUGGAAUUUUUUUGCUACCAACAUAGAUCCUGGAAUUUUUUUGCUACCAACAUAGAAUAAAAUUCCAUUGAACAAUAUUUGGUCAUCCCUGCGCAGAUAUCCAGCUAGAGAGUGGAAAUUAAUGCAUGAAAUUAUUGAAAAAGUAUGUAUAUAUAUAUAUAUAUAUAUAUAUAUAUAUAUAUAUAUAUAUAUAUAUAUAUAUUAAGGCAAGAGACCCUAUACAUGUAAAUACUCUUAUAUACGGAUAGUUAUUAUGUGUAAUACAUUCCAAAUUAUAUUGUACACAACCCUAAAGGUAUACUUCAACAAUCUGCUGCCGCUGCAUCAGCACUUCGGUCUUCUUUCUCCCCUGUGGCGCAAUCAGUUAUCUAUGGCGUAUCCACUACUGCUGCCAUCAUACCUAUUCUUAAAACACACCAGGUAGUCUCUUUAAAACUCUCCAACACCAAUUUUAUGUAUUGGAGGAUGCAGAUGAAACCGUUUUUUUAGGCCAAAGCGUGUAUUCCUUCGUUGAUGGCACAUCAUUAUGUCCUCCUUCACAUAUGGCAUCUACUGCGACAUCAGCACUCUCUGUCAACCUUGCAUAUUUGUCAUGGAAGCAGCAAGAUCACUUAAUCAUGAGUGCCCUCCUAUCUUCUGUCUCGGUGGAAGUUCUGCACUUAGUUGUGGAUUCUAACACCUCUCAUGACAUUUGGACAACGCUGGAAACAACUCUUGCCUCUCCUUCAAAUUCUCGGAUUAUGCAACUUCACGACCCAUUCCAAGAUUUACAACAGACUGAUGAUUCUGCCAGCAUCUACUUGCAGAAGGCAAAGAUCUUAUUUGAUGAACUUGCUACAUGUCAUGUGCACCAUUAAAACCCAAUGUUUCAAGCAUUUGACUUGUAAUCAAACGGCUAUCAAUAUUCCAUCCUUUAGCAUACUUGAGGGUAUACCACUAGUUGCCCGCAAGAUCUGUGUGAAGACUCCGAGACAUAGUGAAGAGGAUAUUGUUUUGUCACUGUGUAAUAUAAUCUGCCUCAUUUCUUGGCCAUUGUUAUUAGCAUGCUAGUUUUAUUUCGAAGAAAGCAAGCUCUGCUUCCUAGUAAAAGUUUUUCUUUAUAGUUUGAAUAAACCUCCAUUGCUAGGUUAAAGUGAACCAAACCAGCAGAAACGAACUAAGUGAUUACAUUGAAAAGCCCGUAGAUUGCAAUGUUUUUUUUCUAGAAAUGCUAGAGAGCUUCCCAACUCUCUUUCUUUUUUCUUUUCAUUUUUGUCUUUUUUAAAAUAAAAAAAUUCCAUCCUGAAACGUUUUUUAUUGAAUUAUUUUUUAUGACUAAAUUCUAUGAGAUAAAGUUUUAAAAAGUUGCGGAAAGAUAAAAUUAAAAGAGAAAGGAUAAUAAUGUAAAACAUACAAAAAAUACGUGGUUAGUCUCAAAGUUUUUAGAAUUUUGAUUUUGAUCCAUAGAUUCAUUUUUUUAUUAGAUUUGACAUCUAAGAGAGAACAUUAUCGAAAAUGGCAAAUGAGAGAAAAAGUUGUCAAUUGACCAUAUUCUAACAACAAAAAAGCACAAUCUUGGUAUUAACGGUUUCAUUCAAUAGAAAGAUUUUCAUUGAAGUGUUUUUUCACCUUAAUUUAUCUUUUCAAAAAAAAUAGAUCAAGGUUGUGAGAUGAUUUUUUACCAUUUUGAUUUUAUGUUUUUAAAAGUGCUUUGCGUUGAUAGAUAGUUUAUUGAUAUUAUAAGGAUGUUUAUUAGGUGUUUUCAAAUGAAAAUAGGUUGGAAAAAUAAAUUAUUGAGUCGAAAAAACCCUAACUAGAUAUGAUUGGAAACUAAGCAAGUAGAUAAUGCGCAUUGUCUACUUUUAUUUUAUUUUUUUUAAAUGGGCCAGGCAUUGGGCCACAUAGACCCAACCACCUAGCCUUUGUAUAUUUGAUUAUACUUUUUUUUUCUAAUUAAAUUUUAUGAAAAUAAAUAAAUUCAAAAUAUCAUUUUCAAGAAUAAGAUUAUAGUUGUUUUUUAUAAAAUUAACAAGCACUUUUUUUUACAACCCUUUGUGACUUGUAUAUAUUUUUUUUCUUAAAUUUUGAUUUUGGGAUUUUUUGCGCAAUUGUUUUUUAUUAUCACAUGAUCGCAAAAAAAAACAUAGUCAAAAUGUUUUUGAUGUAUUAUUUUUAUAUUUUUGUAAUACAUUCGAGACCUAAUAAUGAAACCAUCGAUUAUUGUUUUAUUAGAUUUUUCUUUUACGACCCUAAUAAUUUUUUGCUUCAUAAAAUAACAUUUUAAUAAAUACUUUUCCAAAAAAGAAAUUGAAUUAAUAAAAUAAAUAGGUUUUAAUUAAAAGGAUGUUGUUUUUAUCAUUAUUUUGAAUCCCUUAUAGCCUAUUAGAUAUUUAUUUUAAUGGCCUUCGGAUUUUAUUAAAUGAAGUAUAUUGCUUAAAAAGCUAUGUUUUUUUGUUGAAAAAAAUAGAUUAGUAAAAAAAUGAAUUAUAUUAGAAAAAUAUUUAUUUCAAUAAAAUUUAAAUUAUUUUAUUUUUUUAUAAAAAAAUCAUUACAUAUAAUGACUUAAAAAAAAUAUAAAUUGUUUUAUAUGGCACGAGAUUUAAUAUAUUAAUCUGUAUUUAUUUCUCAGUUUUCCAAUUUAAUUUUUAAUAUUUAGUUAUAUAUAAAUUAUUUUUUAAAUUAAUUAAUUAAAUGCAUGUAUUAAAUUCUUACACGUAACAAAUUUUCUUUAAACUAAAAAAGCUCAAAUUAUAAAAUAAAUUUUGAGCCGAGGCGAGCAAAUUUGGCCGGUGAAUUACUAUAUAACAAUUUAACUUCAUACAAUGUCGUGCUUCAAAAAUUCCAGAUGUCAAGUCCAAGAACGUUCUGAUUAUUGUCUGAAAAAUCAAAAUCACUCCCUCUUCUUGCAACAACAUAUUGACCCCACCUUAAUAUUUUCUUUGGAGGGCAGCCAGGCUUUCUCAGUGUUCCAUUUAUCUUUUCUGUGAUGUAAAUUCUCCAUGCACCAUUUUUAUCAAAUUCCUACAAUACCCAUGUCGGUUUUGUAGCAUAAUGUUCCACAUCAAAUUCAUGGUUAAUAUAUUUUAGUUAUAGUUUUGUUUUGUAAACUAAUUUUUAUUUAAAAAGUAUUAAAUUAAUGUUUUUUAAUAUUUUUUAUAGUGUUAAAUCAAAAAUUAAAACAUCUGAAGAUGGGCAGAUCUGAUAUCUCUCAUUGGACAAAGAAACAGGUACACACAUAUCUAUGCAUUUAUAUAAUCUUCAAUCAGAGCAAACUAAAGAGUUCUUUAUUCGUUCAUUGAUUGAAUGGGAUGAAUGUAUCAUAUAUUCCUUGCUUAAUGUUCAAGAUUUGCAAUCUUAUUAAAUCACUUUUUUCUUAAUUAUCAGGUUGUGGAUUUCAAACCAAGCAUAAAUAUAGAUUUGGGUGGUUUAGCAUGAAGCUGAAAUUGGUUGGAGGUGACUCUGCAGGUGUUGUGACAUGACAGCUUAUUAUGGAAGUCUUUCUUCUACCGCCCCAUACGCUCAAAAUGCCUUAAAGAUUCAUGGCUGUGAAGCUUAAUCAAAGACUUCAUAAAUAUUUUAACUAUUUUUUUGUACUUAAUUCUAGCUUGACAGCAAGUACAGGAAAUUAUCAGGGACGGAGGCUAAAGUGGAUUCAUCUGUUUUUUUGCAGAUGUGUACAGAGAAUGGGGCAGGGCCAACAAGAGAUGAGCUGGACUUUGAGUUCUUGGGGAAUAGAACUGGAGAACCCUAUUUGAUUCAAACAAAUAUAUACAAGAAUGGUACUGGUAACCGUGAAAGGAGGCACAUGCUUUGGUUCGACCCUACCGAGGAGUUCCACACCUAUUCCAUUCUCUGGAACAAUCUACAGAUAGUGUAAGUCCUUCGAUUCUAUGCUACAGCUAGAUCAAGGCACCUGAUGAUUCAAGUUUUCAUGCUGCAAUCUUGCACAAAAGCAAAAGCAAAAAAGAAAAUGGCAAAAACAGUAGAUUAAAGGGCUGGUUGCGUCCCGGUGUGUUUGGUAACGUAGAUGUUUUUCCAUUGAAAAUGCAUAUUACAAUUAUGUUUUUAUAUUAACACAUUAAAAAACACUUAAAAACAUCAAUUUAAUAUCUCUGAGACGAAAAGCAAUAGCUACUGCAGGAAGAGAUAAACAUUGUGGGAACAGUCAAUAAAUAAGCCUCAGAGAUUUGCUUGCAACUUGGGUUCGAUGGACAGUGACACUGACUUGGAUUUUUCAUACGCUAAGCAGGUUUUUUGUUGAUAAAGUAGAGCAAUAAGGGUGCCCAAGAACAAUGGAGAACCAAAUAAUUUCUUCCCCAAUGAGAAGCCCAUGUACCUAUUUUCAAGUAUCUGGAACGCCGAUGAUUGGGCUACUAGAGGAGGGCUAGAGAAGACAGACUGGAAAAAGGCCCCAUUUGUGUCCUCUUACAAGGACUUCACUGUUGAAGCUUGUCAAUGGGAAGAUCCAUACCCUGCCUGUGUAUCAACAACGACUAAAUACUGGUGGGAUCAAUACGAUGCUUGGCAUCUCUCAGAUGAACAGAAAAUGGACUGUGCCUGGGUCCAAAGAAACCUUGUGAUCUAUGAUUAUUGCAAAGACACUGAAAGAUUCCCAGCGCUGCCAGUGGAGUGCAAAUUGAGCCCAUGGGAUUGAUGGGCAAGUGAUGAGUUAAUUGUUAUUCUUCAGCAUCAUAUAUUUUUUCUAUUUCCUUUUUGUCUUUUUCUUGGUUACCAUUUUGAGAUGGGUAUAAAUCACAAUGUAUUUUUCUGCCAGCUAUUCUAUUUCACUAUUGCACAUCUAUUUAAUUUAUUCAAUUAUUUAUAUUCAAUUCAAAUAUAAAUUCCUGUACUUUGUCCAUCCUGUAAAGUGUUUUUCUCUAUCUUCUUAAACUCCAAUAAAAAUAUAAUCAAUGAAAAACACUUCGUAGAAUAACAGUUUUAUUUUUAUUUUGGGUAGAAUAUAUUUUUUAAAAGUUAUAAGAUUUUAAAAAUAUUUUGUUAUAUAUGUUGAUUAUAUUAAAUUUCACCUAUAUAUAUUUUGUUUUGAAUUAUUUAUUUAGUUAUUAUUUUUUCAAUUUUGUCUCUUAAAAUUUGAUUUAACUUGAUUUUUAUAUUAUCUUGGGUUCUUAUUUUUUUUUAUUGUUAUUUGUUUUUCUUCUAUCCUUUUCUUAAUUGAAUUUUUUUUAUCUUGUUAUUGGUUUCUAUUCUUUUGAUAUUUACUCGUCUUUUAAUUUUUUUUUCUGUCAGAUUUGGUCCUUAUUUUUUUAUGACUAUUUUUUUAUUUUAGAUAAUUUAUGAAAUUAGAAUUUUUUUUAAUUUCAUCCUCCAAAUUUUUCAUCAAUUAAUUUUGAUCCCUAUUCUUUAAUAAACUUGAAAAAUAUUUAAAAAUAUUAAUAAGUUAUUUUCUAACUUAUUUUUCAUGGCAUAGCUAAAUACUAUAAAAUAUUUUCCAACUUAUUUUUCAUGGUAUUGUCAAAUAUAAAAAAAUAAUCUACUUUUUAAAAAUUUACUUUCCAUGAAAAAUAUUUUUUUUAAAAAAAAAACACUUUCCGAUAGAUAAAUUAGGCAAGUAGAAGGAUUUACAGUAUAUCGUUUUUUGGCAACCCACUAAUAGUUCUUGUAUCUUGAUUUUCUAUUUUUAUAUUUUAUUUUUAAAAAGUGUUCAAUAUUAUUUCAAUGUAAAGCCACUUAGACGAAAAGGGUACAAUGUAAGAAUAAAUAGCAUAAUAAAGUAGUUGACGUAAAAUAAAUAAAAAUAAUAUAUCCUUCUUUUAAUUAAAAAAAAAAAUCAUUCUCAUUUGUUAUUUUUAUUCUCACCUUCCACUAUGAAAAUAAAAUUAGAUUUAAUUUUUAUUUUCAUUUCGAUUUUGUUCUUUUAACCAAAUAGGCUCUAAGUUUUAUCAAUUUCUAAAAGAAACAUUCUUGGACUAACCGACUAUGAAUUUGGCUUAAUCAUCAAAACAUGAGGGCUACCUCAAUCGUUUGGUGGUGAGAUUUAUACAGUAUGCAGUCGUGCCUACACAAUUAUUCUUAAAAAUGAUGCAACUUACAAGUCCUUUUUCAAUUCUCUCAAAAGAGAAAAGGAAUACUAUAUUUUUUUUUAUAUAGUUGACGAUUAUAUUAUUUGAUGGCCUAUCAAAACAUACCUUCUAGAUUUUUUAAAUUGUUUUUUCCAAUUUUUUUCAAGUUAUUAUACUAUCUACAUUGGUCGGCGCUUCAUUUGACCAUUCGCUAAUGAUCAUCCGGUGGCUUCUCUCUAUAUAUAUACAUAUAAAAUUGGAAAAAAUAUUGCUUAAAUAUAUAAUUUAGGCCGCCUCUGUAAGCUUUAAACUUGUAGAUAUGGGGGGAUCAUGAGUUUGACUUUUAUGUUUUCCAAUCUCCGUUUCUUAAAAUCUUUUUAAUUCCAUUAUUGAUUUUUGAAAGACCCAGUUUUUUGUUUAACUAUAUAAAUACAAAACAACUCAAGUAAACCAUCUGAAGAAAUUCCCGUCAGUUUGGAAUUGUUCGAGUCGUAAAUAUAUAGUUAUCUUCCAUGAAAUUGAUGUGCUAGGAUUUUCCAAAAUGUUGGAGAGCAUACAUAGUCAAAUAGAAUUUUAUAUGGUUUCAAGGGUGAUUUAUUUGACGAGGACAUAAAUUAUUUAAUUUAAACAAAUAAUGACCAAGAACAGAAUAUGAAGAAUUAAUUAGCACUGGUCAUCGACACAUAUAUGUGAUCCUUUCACACCACAUAACCUUCAAUUUCAUGCUAUAAAUACUACCUCUCCUCCUCUUGUUUCAGCAUCACAAAAACAUCUUCCAAAUCAACAAAAUCUCUCCCCCCCUUCUCAGUCUUUUAGAAUCCCAAGUUAAAAUGGGUGUCAUCACUUUGGAAAACGAGUUUGCUGUUGCUGUCGCCCCGGCCAAGCUUUUCAAGGCAUACUGCCUUGAGACCGACACUCUUUUGCCUAAAAUUCUACCAGAGCACAUUAAGAGCUCUGAGAUAAUUGAAGGAAAUGGAGGGCCUGGAGCCAUCAGGAAGAUCACUUUUGCUGAAGGUUAGUAUAUUAUAUGUUGCAAUUACUUUUAAUUAUAUUAACUAUAUUGAAAUCAGCAUAACACUCGCUAUAUCUACCGCACAAAGAAGUAACAAAUUGAUUUUGCACUUGCAGGAAAAGAUCUCAGUUAUGCCAAGCAGAAGAUUGAGGCAAUUGACGAAGAGAACUUGACCUACAGCUUCAGCUUGAUUGAAGCCAAUGUUUGGAAGGAUGCAGUUGAAAAGGUGACUUAUGAGCACAAGUUCGUGGCAACUCCUGAGGGAGGUUCCAUUUGCAAGAGAACCAGCACAUAUUACAUCAAGGGUGAUGCUGAGAUCAACAAAGGCCAAAUCAAGGACGUGUAUGGCAAAAAGACCGCAGGCUUGUUGAAGGCUGUUGAAGCCUACUUCUUGGCAAAUCCAGAUGCCUAAAUAUGAAAAUUCCCAUGUGUGUGUGUGUGGCCUUUUUCUUGGUUGUCUUUGGCAGUGUGGUUAUUGCCUUUUCUUCUUCCUUUGGGUAAAUUUUCCAUCCUUGUUACUGGCAAAAAAAAAUUGAGAGUACAGAAGUAUAUCUUCUAUUACUUUAAUAGUAUUUGAUUAUGUGGUCAUUUGGUUAAUUGUAUUGAAGCAGUUCUUUUCAAUAGUUGAUGUUAUUGGUAUUGUUUUCAAAAUACAUAAUAAAAAUCACCAUGUCAUCAAGUGUUUACUUUGAAUCGAUGUAUCGAAGGUUUUCUUUAUACAUAAUCUGUUUUCUUAAAGAGCACUUGAAUUUAUGGACCUUUCCCUCCUUCCUCAUUUUUUUUUUCAAAUGAUAAUAUAUUGAAGAGCAAAAACAUUUGUCAUGCUGGUUAUGCACGCAUAAACUAUCCUUUUGGAAAGAUUUUAUGUUUGUAAAAUCCAACGAAUAGAAUGUAUGCACGUAAGAAAAUAAUUUAUAUGACCAGGGGGUGGUUAAAUGAUUUUCUUAUUCAAACUUCACUUUCUCUUUUAUUUUUUUUAUGUUAUUUUCACAUCAAUAAUAAUAAUAAUAAUAAUAAUAAUUAUUAUUAUUAUUAUUAUUAUUAUUCUUUUUUAAUAAAAAAAAUAAUAAUCUUAACACUUCCUCUCUAAGUUGGUGCAUAAAUAUCACAUAUGCCUAACUUGUUUAAAGUUGAGAAUAAUUAGCAGGCUUAAUCUAUUGGUUAGCCAACCCUUUUUAUAUAUAUAUAUAUGUAGGGCAAUAUACAAUAGUAAUGGUGGAGGUUACAACACAGGAGUAUAACUACAAUAUUUCCUAUACAGUAUGCCUACAAUAUUUCCUAUAUAGAUGCAUUAAUAUGCCCCCUCAAAUUGAGGGUGAAGGAUCAGCCCGAAACUUGAAAUGAAAAGUUGUAAAAAAAAUAGUAGGAAGUGGCUUAGUAAAGACAUCUGCAAGUUUAUCCUGAAAGGAAAUAAAAUGAAUCUAGAUCUCCUUCUUCACAACUCUAUCUCGGACAAAACAUGAGGGCUACCUCAAUCGUUUGCUGGUGAGAUUUCAAGUUAGAAUUUGGCUUCAUGAGUAACCGACUACAUCUGAUCCGAUCCAUUGACUUGGAUUACUGAGAUUUUGGAUGGUGAGAUAAUACACACACACACACACACUUCAGUUGAAUGUCUAAACUUAGAGUCACAAUAUUGUUAAGGUUAUUGAUAAGAAAAAUCCUAUUCAGGAAGUUUUUCAGAUAAAACUUCCUUAUGAUCUGCAGUCAAUCCUGCAUAAUAUGGUGCUAUAAUUCCUUAAGAAUAUCUGUUAUGAUUAUGUACAACUAUAAACUAAAUUAGCUCCACAUUUAUCUUCUUCUUUUACUCUUUUAUAAUGUACUCCUAUAUAUAAAUACAAACUAAUGUACAAUGUUUAAGUUGAUCAGAUAAGAAUCAUACAAAAACAUUCUUCUCCUAACUUGGCAUCAGAGUCAUUAUAGCUCACAGAUACCUUUUCUUUGAUUCUGCUUCCACAUAAUGUCUUCUUUAUUACCUUUACAUGAUAUCAACAACCCUCUCAAUCUUUCUCAUACCUCACCUCUAUCAUCCUUUAAACUUGAUGGAUCAAAUUAUCUAAUCUGCUAGUCCCAAUUUCUAUCAUUUCUAAACAGUAAUGAUCUUCUAGUGUUCGUUGAAGGUUUUGACCCUGUCACUGGGAAAACCAAUGCUGAUAAUUCACCCAAUCCCUCUUAUACAACAUGGUAUAAGAAAGAACAAGAUCUAUUGGGUAUUAUAUUAUCAUCUCUUAGUCUAAAUUUUGUUAGAAUAGUGUAUGGUUUAACCACAUCCAAACAAGUCUAGACUGCUCUUAAGACUAGAUUUUCUAAUCAGUCACAAUCUCAUAAUCUAUGUUUGGAUUUGUCUUUUAUGUUGUGAUCCGGUCUUAUGAUCAUUAUCACAAGUUUUAAAGGUUGAGUCAGGUUGGCUUCGGUCAUUUUUAUUUUUUUUAUUUUUAAUUUCAUCUAUCAUCAUUAGAUUCGUUGGUAAUUUGUAUUUUUUUUUUUUUUUUGCCUUUUCUUUCUAUAAAGUUAUUCUAAUAUCAUGUUCUAAGUUAUGGAUUUAGCAAGUUUACUGGGUUUGACUUGGUCUUUUUUUUCAUUGCUUUUUAAGUUUUUUUUAAUCUCGAGUCAAUGACCAGAAUCUUAAAUAUUUUUUUAAAAAUGUUUGCGUCAUCUUGAUGUUUUUUUCUACAAUGAAAAACAAAUAAAUAGACUCGUGGUAUAGCGCUGGACACCUAUCUAGUAAUAAUCUAAAAAUUAAUAAUAUGAUAAUCUAAAACUGAUAAUAUGAAAUGAAGUGUUAGUGAAAAUGAUACACUCAUAUGCGAAAACAUACAAAUACAUUUUGAUCUUAAAUAGACAAGAAAUUUAACCAUAGUCUUAUUAUUACAAUUUGAUCCUUUGGUUUUAAAAAUAUACAAGCACAUCAAUAUUUACUUAAAUUGAAAAUGGGACAUCACUAAUUCUAUUAUAAAAUAGGACAUUAAGAACAUAUUAUUAUAAUUCUUUUUAUUAUUUUCCAUAUAAAAUAAAUGAGAUCAUAAAUGGAUGGUAAAUUGUCAUUUUUAAAAUAUUAAUAUUUAAAAAAAAUAUUAUAAAAAAUGGAUGAAACAAUUAAUUGAGAAUUUUCAAAAACUUUAUAACACAACAAAAUUAUUAGGCAUUUAAUUGAUAUUCAGGAUAUAAUUUGAAAACUAAUUUAAGUUAAAUCUUUUAUUUAUUUAUUUAUUAUGCAAUCGUGCCUGCACAAUUAUUCUUAAAAAUGAUGCAACUUAUAAGUCCCUUUUCAAUUCCCUCAAAAGAGAAAAGGAAUACUAUAUAUGUUAUUAUUUGAUGGCCUAUUAAAACAUACCUUCAAAAUCAUCCAGCAGCCGUUCUUCAUAGCAGAGAUCUUCAUCUUUUUCCUCUGUUACUUCUCAUCUAUUAUAUCCACCAGCAGCCGUCCUUCUUAGCAGAGAUCUGCAUCUUCUUCCUCUGUUACCUCAUAUCUGCAAUAUCUGGAGGUCCUCUUCCUCCUUAAAACCAAACUGCAACCUCUUCUACCUUGCAACAUGGACAAUCAAGAACUUCAACAAUCUGUUGCUGCUGCAUCAGCACUACAGUCUUCUUUCUCGCCUGUGGCGCAACAGUUAUCUAUGGCGUAUCCACUACUGCUGCCAUCAUACCUAUUCCUAACACACACCAGGUAGUCUCUUUAAAACUCUCCAACACCAACUUUUUGUAUUGGAGGAUGCAGAUGAAACCGUUUCUUUUAGGCCAAAACGUGUAUUCCUUUGUUGAUGGCACAUCAUUAUAUCGUCCUUCACAUCUGGCAUCUGCUGCGACAUAUGCACUUUCUGUCAAAUUUGCAUAUUUGUCAUGGAAGUAGCAAGAUCACUUAAUCAUGAGUGCCCUCCUAUCUUCUCUCUCGGUGGAAGUUUUGCACUUAGUUGUGGAUUCUAACACCUCCCAUGACAUUUGGACAACGCUGGAAACAACUCCUGCCUCUCUUUCAAAUUCUCAAAUUAUGCAACUUCACAGCUCAUUCCAAGAUUUACAACAGGCUGAUGAUUCUGCCAGCAUUUACUUGUAGAAGGCAAAGACCUUGUUUGAUGAACUUGCUGCAGCUAGCAGACCAAUCUCCUUGGCCAAAUUCAACUUGUAUGUGUUUCGAAGGUUACGCAGUGAGUUUAAGGAUCUUGUCAUCAGCUUGUCCACUAAGGAUGUUACCAUCUCCUAUACUGAUCUUCAUAGCAAUCUUCUUACACAUGAGUUUCUUCACAAAGCCUCUCUCCAACCAUCUGUAACAUCUCCUCUGUUACCAACUCCAACGCAGCAGUCAGCUAUGUUCUUUGUGCAACAUCAAUCUGGCUUUAGUACUAGCAAACAAGGUUGGUUUUGUGGGGGCUGGAGACCUAACAAUCAACAAUGUGGCCAACAUGGAAACCAGUUCUCCUCUGGUUCUUCCCAACAUGGAAACCGGUUCUCCUCUGGUUCUUCCUCACGGAUAACAAGCAGCUUUAGGCAGCAAGGAAAUCGUUUUGGUGGUUAUAAUCGCAAUACUACCCAACAGUAUUCUCAAUUGGCUACUCAUCUUACGCAAGCAAAUGGUAAUCUCGCAUUUAAUAAUGUAUCUACCACUACUCCUAUUACUUGGUUUCCUGAUACAGGUGCAAAUCAUCAAGUCACGCCGGACCUUGUAAGUAUGACGAGUUCAGAACAUUACCUUGGAAAUGAUCAUCUGCAUAUUGGUGAUGGUAAGGGCCUUGUUAUUUCAAAUAUUUCCCACUCUAAAAUUCGUUCACCCAAAUGCACGUUUACUUUAUCUAAUAUUCUACAUGUUCCUGCCAUUAAAAAACCUCUGCUAUCUGUUCAAAAAUUUUAUCUUGAGAAUAACGUCUUUUUUGAAUUUCAUUCCUCUCUAUUUUAUGUUAAGGGGGAGUAGAGAUGGUCUAUAUGUUUUGUCUGAGUCGUCCGCAACGUUGUUGCCUCAAGUUUUCUCAUCUACUUGUCUCUCUACUUUCGCUGAUGCCUGGCAUCGUCGCCUUGGGCAUCCCAAUCCACGUAUUCUACAUUUUUUGGUGAAAAAAAAGUGUCAUGUACAUCAACUCAGUUUACUUUUAAUUGUUGUCGCACGUCAUUAAAUCCGCACGGCAUCGGCUGGCGAUUUUUCUUUAUGCGUUUUGCUUUGAUUGGUUCGUUGGAGUCGCCACCUAGUAAUUUAUUGAGGGCUACUAGGAAACCUGAUGUACUGGUCUUGUUAGAGAUUCACGGGAAAGGGACUGGUUGUGGUUAGGGAAGGUAUUAGCACCCCUAACGCACCCUACCUGAGGUAAGCUGCUUCGUGGACUUGAUGUGUUUUUAAAAAUAAAAUUUUAGCCCAAUUCUAAGGCUUUGAUAAAUCAGUUAUUAGUUCCCAAAAUAUAUGUAGAUACAUGUUCUACAUUUUCAUGGAAAAUACAACAUGAUUUUAUCUGUCCUUUAGAUAUUUGUGCAUAUAAAUUAAAAUAUUAAAUUCAUUUUUUUUUAUUCAAUAACAUACAUAAAAAACAAAUACACAAACACACACACAUCUCUUUUUCUAUUAUUAUUUUCUCUUUCUUUUCUUUUCUUUUUGUACAUCACAUUACAAAAUUAUAAAAAAUUUAAACACUAAACAAAAAUUACAUUACAUAAUUUAAAAAUUACAAAAUAGUCCCUAAACUCCAGAAAUUGCAGAGGGACACUUCUGGAACUGCCUGAACAGUUCUGGAACAAUGGCGGCGCGUGGCUUCACGCGCCGCCGCUGACAGUGCUGGAAAUGGGCGGAUCUGCCCUGCUUUCUCCUUUUCUCUUCUCUGCCGAUGGUGACCUGCAAAAUCAACCAAAAACGCAACACAGGCAGUUGAUUUUAGUUGUUUUUCUUUGUUGUUUUUUAGAUCUGCUCUCGGGUUCUUCUCCCGGAUCUGUCCCGUUCGGGUCUGCUGCUAUGGAUUUCAUCUCCUUCUCCUCUGCUUCGGGCGGCGCUGCUGGCUGAUGGUGGAUCUGUGGCUGGGCAUGGAGAUCGGAGGAGAAGCUGUCGUGGCCGGCUGUUGUGGGGAGGAGCUGCUGCUGUUGCUCGUGGGUCUCUCUUUGAUUUACAUCUGCUCCUUCUGCCGAUGGCAGGACUGGUGGAGGCGGAUCGCGGUGGACGCGGGCGGAUCCGCCGGUGCCUGAGGGCUUCGGUGUGGAGCAGAAGGGAGGCGUUUCCUUGUGGAGCUGGAUCCGUGGGCCACUGGCGGUGCGAUUCUGCCGGCGUUCAGCGAGCUGGCCGCUAGUUCAGGAGGAAAGAGCUGAGGGAGGCCGCGGCUGAGGAAGAGAAUGGGGGUUCUCUUGUGGGUCUUGCUGCUGUCGUCUGCUGGCUGCUGGAGCUGAGUCGGCCAAGAGAGGGAAAAAUGGUGGUUGGCCGAGAGAGCAAGAAGAAGAAGGAAGGUGCUGGGAGCAGGAAGGAAAAGGAGAGCUGCAGUGGCUUGGGAGGUGAAGAAGAUGGUGGAACCGGCUGAAAAGGAAAACCAAAAACGUGGGGGGCCGGCCAGACGGCGGCUUGGAGAAGAGAUAGAUUUAGGGUUUUGUUUUUGUGUUGUCUCUCCCCUCAAAUAUCAAAAUUUCCCCCCUUUUAUGUGUGUUGAAGGCUGCUAUAUAUAGGCAAAUUAAUGUUUGGGCCUCAAAAUUAGUCUUCAACUUUCUCUUUUUUUGUAAAUUCUGAUUUUUCUUAUUUUUUUGUAUUUUUUGAAAACGAGCAAUAUCAACGUCAACUUAAAUGAGAAAAAUCAAUGAUUUUAAAAAUAACACGUGAAAAGUCGAACGCGUUCCAAAAAACCUAUGAAAACUUAAAUUCUUUUUUUAGACGACGUUAAAAAUGCUAAAAACGAUGCACACAUAUUAAAAACAUAUUUUUUUGGAUUUUCGUUGUUUUUCGCUAUUUUUGAAUUUUCCGAAGAUUUUAUCAAAAAGGUAGGUCAAAAAUUGGGUAACAACAAUUGUGUUGAGUGCCCUCUGGGCAAGUCGUCUCGUCUGACUCUAAAAACUACGGGUCAUCAAACUCGAGCUCCUCUUAACUUGAUUUUUAGUGAUGAUUGGGGUUCAUCCCCUAUGUUGUCAUCUGAUGGUUUUUGCUAUUUUGUUAUUUUUUUGGAUGCCCAUACGAAGUUUAUAUGGUUUUAUCCUUUGGUUGCUAAGUCUGAUGUUUUUCAAAUUUUUCAUCAAUUUCAGGCGCUUGUGGAGCGCCAAUUCUCCUUAAAAUUUAACUUUGUUCAAAUCGAUUAGGGUGGUGAAUAUCGAAAACUAAAUACAUAUUUUAAAAUGAUUGGUAUUCAUCAUCGUGUGAUCUGCCCGCACACUCAUGAACAAAAUGGCAUGGUUUAACGUCGUCAUAAACAUAUUGUUGAAACUGAGCUUACUCUUCUUGGGUAGUGCCACGCUUCCCUUAAAUAUUGGAGUUAUGCUUUUGAAAGCUCUGUUCAUUUGAUUAAUCGCAUGCCAACUCCAGUUUUUAAUCAUAAGACACCUUUUGAAUGUCUUCUAAAAUCGAUUCCUGAUUAUGCGUUUCUUCGUACCUUUGUGUAAACCCCGGGGGAAAAAAAUAAAUAAAAGUGAAGAAAUUCAUGCAUAUGGUUAAAUAAAAACAGGAAUUCAGAAAUUUUUUAAUAUAAAUUUCCGAGUGAAAUAAUUCGAGACAUUAUAAUAAACCCGGUACUGUUGAGGGUUGGAUUUAAUUGAAGAGAAUAACACACUUAAAGGAAAAGGGGGCCUAAAUGCAAAUAAGGGAAAAUAUAGAGUAUAAGUACUCUCUCCUCACCAAAAAUUUAGAGGAACCAUAAGGAGAGAAAAUAAGGAGUUUUAUACCCAUUCUUGCGAAAUCAAGAGAGAAACACUAAAAUUUCAACAACCCAUCCAACAUUAAGGGUUUAUAGAUGGGAUAAACACUUGAGAGCAAGGGAUUACCAAGAAAUUGAACAAGAAGAAAAGAAAGGAGGGAGUUAAAAAUCUUCAACUGGUUGAAGAUCAAAAUCUUAAUUCGUACUGGGUAAAGUGUUCUAAACAUGAUCUUAAAAAUUCAUUUUAAAUUCGAUAAUGAAUUGAUGUCUUGAUAUUGAAUCAUAGGUUAGGGUUCUUAGACAUGAAUUGGGGAAAAAGUACUUAUUGUUAAGAUUAAGUUAAUUCAUGUGUGUGGUAUGUAGUUUAUGAAAGUAUUGUGUGAAGGGGAGGGGGAGACGAAUCUGGACAGACUUGUCUCCUGACUUUCAGUGAGAUUUCAGGUAGGAGGAUGAGGGAAUUAGGAUUGGAUUCCUUCAUAGAAAUUGUAGAUUUGAAUGAUAGCUAACCAAGGAAACUGGUCUUCCUCAAUUUAGAGAUGUAGAACUCCAGUUAUGGGUUAUCAACCGAGACUGAGUUGUGACUGAUUAUGUAGGGCAGUAGGACUGAUUAGUUGAUGAGCAGUUUUGACUAUCUUGGAGGAAGAACUGGGUUCUCCUUUCUUCAGAGAACUAGUAGUCUCGUGUCUUAACUUUCUAACGAGAUCAAUCUCACUUAAAAUGGAGUUUUAAAACUUUAGAUAUAGUUAAAAAUCUGAUGAGCGUUCAGACAGUAACAGUUCAAAUGUCUAGACAGUAACAGUUGGACAGUAACAGUUCAAAUGUCUGGACAGUAACAGUUCAAAUUUAAACAGUAACGGUUGGACAGUAACAAUUCAAUGUGUAGACAGUAACAGUUCAAAUGUCUAGACAAUAACAGUUCAAAGUUAGACAGUAACAGUUGGACAGUAACAGUUCAAUGUGUAGACAGUAACAGUUCAAAUGUCUAGACAGUAACAGUUCAAUGUGCAGACAGUAACAGUUCAAAUAUCUAGACAGUAAAAAAUUAUAGUUUGCAAUUCAAGCAUUUGUGCAGGAGGAUAAAUAGGCAAUACAAACAAAACAUGUGAAAGUAUGCCACAUUCACCGACGUCACUACCGACGGAUAAACUUCUAUCGGUAUCUUACAGAGAGUUGCAAAAUAUUUACUGUUUUUUACCACAUUCACCGACGUCACUACCGACGGAUAAACGUCCAUCAGUAUCUUACAGAGAGUGGCAAAAUAUUUACUGCAUUUGCCACAAUCACUAACGGACAUACCGACGUCAUCACCGAUGUACGUUGCAAAUUCCAAUGCGCGCAACUGUCAGAGUGCCAGGUCGGUCAGUCCGUUUACCGACGGACUCACCGACGGAUUUUGCAAUUCUAAUGUGCGCGUGCUCUAACACCUCGAUAUCAACAUAAUUGCCAAAGGAAAUUGAAAAUUCUGGAGGGAUUUCCACAAAUUUUGGUGAGAAAUUCAAAAUAUACCGACGGAAAUUACCGACUAAAUUUAAUGCCACCGCCAAAAAAAAUAUUAUUUUAAGUUCCGUCGGUAAAAUUGCAGUAUAAAACCGACCCCCCCUCUCAUUCAUCUUCUAUUCUCCUAUGCUUCCUCAACAGUUUUGUUAUUGUUUUGAUUGAUUUCAACAUAUUAAAAGGUAUGAUUCUCCUUUCUUUAUCUAUGUAUUUGUUUACUUUUUUAUUUUACUUAUGAUUAUUUUUGUUGUGUUUUUUGUUUUGUGUAUUGUUUGUAGAUAAAAUAUUUAAAUCAACACACUAUUAAGGUAAAUAUUUUUCAUUGCUAAAGUCUUUAGUUUUUUCUUUUUAUUUGUUUAAUUUAUUUUAUUGUUUGUAUUGCCAUAAUAAUUGGAAAUUUUUUUAAAUUUGAAUUUUUAUUGUUGAAUUUACCUUUAAAAUGUUAAUUUAAAUAUAGAAUUAAAUUUAAUUAUUUUAACUCAAUUUUAUUCUAUUAUUGCUUGUUAUGUUUUUUAUUAUUUCCAUUAAUUUUAAUUGUCAUUUAUGUAUUUAUAUAGAUGUUACUUGAAAAUAUAUAGAUGUUAAAUUUCUAUAAAUGUUAGGUUGUAUAUAAGAUUUUCCAAUGGAGUCAAUUGGUUUGUGGUUAUUGUAAAUAUUUGCAGGUUUGAAAACUGUGGGUAGUCUCUAGUAUAGAGGAGGUGCUGCCGAAUGUUUUUUAAAUAAUCAAAUUUAAUUAUGUAAUUAUUCAUAUAAAUUUGUGUAGAUGCAUAGAAUGAAAUCAACAGCACGUCAUCAGCAGACGGUUGUAACUAGUUCUUCUAGCAGCGAGGAUGACUUAUCCUUAGGUGCUGAUCACGAAGAGGCAUCUACGCCAACUUGUGAUGCUGCCUCUUCUAGCGCAGUUUCACAGCGCAGAGGCGGUGUGCCUUCACAGCAGGGUCAAUUCACCCGCAAGUACCAGGCACAAUGGAAGGAUGACCUUUCAAUGUCAGUUUGUUUAGGUUUUAGUUUCUUUUAUAUACUUAUAACAUAAUUUAUGAACAACUAAUUAAUAUUUUAUUAAUUUUAUUUAAUUUCAGGUUCACAAACAUUGAGGCUGCCUGGACAAUAACAUCGCGUUUAAAUCAUCGAUGGAGAUUCCAUUGUUUCAAUGGAGUCAGGUUUCCAAACUUCCUGAGUGGAGACCUAAUAUCGAUGCAUGGUUUCGACGAUUUCAGGUAAGUGUAACUUCUAAUUUCUAGCUUAUUUUUAAUAAAUUAUUUUUAUAAUUUUAUAUCUUGUACUAUUUUUAUUUUAAAUGAAUUAUUUAUACACAUCACACAUUUGAGUGGGAUAGAGCGAACAACAAUGUUGUGUGGAGGGAAUGGGAGAAUCACGCGGCAACUAGGUAACAUCGAAAAUAAUAUAAUUUUUUGUUUUAUAAUUUUAUGUUCUAAAUUCUAAUUUGUUACUAUGGAAGUAGGUUGCGUGAUUUUUGAUAUGACACAAAAAAAAAAGCAAAAAGAUAUGCGAGAGAUAACGGUCUAGAAGGCUGAAAUGAGGUGGUGGUUUGGUGGGAAUUCAAACCACCAUUCAUCUCGGGGGAUAUAUGGACGCAAUAUAUUGAGCACGUGACGUCUGAGCGGUUCGCACAACGCUCACAGUCCGGUGUCGCCAAUCAGAAUCGGCAAAUUCAUGGUUCGGUUACCACGCACACCAACGGCUCUUUUCUGUUCGGUGCACAUGCGAAGCGGAUGGUAAGAUUAAUUUAAAUGAAAUAUAUCGUUAAUUAAUUUGUUGUUGCUUAUAAAUAUAUUUAACUUGCAACCUUUUUUUUCCUUACAGACUUCGUCUCUUGGACGUGUGUCGAGCCCAAUGGAGCUGUUUAUAGAGACGCACGUGCGGAGUCAAGACCGUCAAAAAGGGGUGCAACAGUUCGUGGACAACCAUGCUCAAUACUUCGUGGUAUGUUCGUUCAAUAAUUUUAUUUCGUAAGUUAUUAUUUUCUUGAAUUAAAUAUGAUGAUUUUUUAAACAAUUUUCAGGAGACCUAUAAUAACCGGUUGAGGGAGAGAUAUGGGGACAAUCCUUCGACCCAUCUGGAUUUCGAUCCGGAUUUGUGGAUGGAGGUAGGAUCGUCUGGUGGACCCGAUAAAAAUCAGGUCUACAGGCUCUCCAACACUACGGCCGAAAACUUGCGGACAGCCUAUAGUGUCUCAACCGUUGGGAGCUCUACAUCAGUAUCGAGCACCUAGUCUGAGGAAUUCAUGGCCUUGAAAUAAUAAUAUGAACGACUCUCGAUGGAUUAUGAUCAGCUCCGUCAAAUGGUCAUCGACAUUAGAUCAAGGAUGGGUGAUGAUACAUGUGCAGCCCCUUUUUGGCCGUACAGUCCCGGGAACAACCAGCCUCCUCCUUCUCCUCCUCCUCCUCCAACUCUGCCGUUAUUCUAAUUUAAUUUUGUUUUUGAAACACAUUAAAUUUAUAAUGAAUAUUUGGAUGAAUAUUAUUUAAAAUUAUUUUUAUAUUUUUAAUGUUUAAUACAAUUUUAUUUGGUUAAUUAGUGUUUUUUUACUAUAAAUCAAUAUAAUAUUUGAAAAAAAAAUUAUUUAUUCUAAAUACUUUUUUAAAAAAAAAUUUAAAUAAAUGCCGACGGACUUGCAGAUGGAAUAUGUCAGUCGGUAUUAGACAAAGAGUUGAAAAAAAUUUACGACCCAUGCCACAAUCACCGACGGCCCAUCCGUUGGUGAUUUACCGUUGACAUUGCCGACAGCCUAUAUCCGUCGGUAUUUUACAGAGAGUUCUGAAAUAUUUACGGCCCAUGCCACCGUCACCAACGGACUGGCCGUCAGUGAUUUACCGUUGGAAAUACAGAUGGAAUACGUCUGUCAAUAAAGUUCUAGCGCGGGAAAUUUUUUAUGGAUGCGCUUUCCUCGUCUGUAAGACCGUCGGUGUUUGUUUUUUUUCUGACAAACAUACCGAUGGAAGUGGGAAUUACCGACGAUCAAUAUUCUAACAGACAUAUUCUGUCGAUGAGACCGUCGGCAAAAAUUUUACCGACGAAUUGUGUGUUUUACACUGACAUAAUUAUUCCAUCGGUAAAACUGUUUAAUGGUGGUGUAGUGUAAUUCAUUGAUUGCCUAGGACUUUAUGCCUAUAAAAAGGCUUGUAAUUAAGCAUUAUUAAGAAGUACAAAAGAGAGGGAGAGAAUAGCUAAGAGAGGCAAAUUUGGAAAAGGAGUUUGUGGUAGCCAUAACAGGUCAAAUGAUCGAACACAUGAAGCAAAUCGGUCGAUCGAUUACAUUAAUAGUGACAAUCCAAAAUCUAGGUUUGACAAAUCAAAAGUUAAAUGCUAUAAUUAUCAAAAAGUAUGUCAUUAUGCUAGGGAUUGUUGGAGUCCAACUAAAAAGUUUUAGAAGAAUGCAAAUCUAGUAAUAUAAGAGAAAAGGGAAGCCACCCUAUUACUAGUGCAUGAUGAGAGAAUGCAAGACAAAUAGAACAUAUGGUAUCCAAACAAUGAAGCUAAUGUGUGGAGACAAAGACAGGUUCAUGGAGCUUGAUGAAGCAAUUAGAGGUGAUGUCACCUUUGCGAAUCAUUCAAAGGUUGCCAUAAAAAAAAUAUACGAUUUUGAUUAAAUUGAAAUAUGUAAGUCAUCAAUUUAUUCAUGAUUUUUAUUAUAUACCAAUAGGAAAAAGCAACAUAUUGAGCUUAGGACAAUUGUUGGAGAAGGGGUAUGAGAUUAAGAUGAAAUAUCGUACUUUGACAUUACUACAAAAGGAGCUCUGAUUGCAAAGGUAGUUAUGAUAAAAAAAAAAAAAUUAUAAUGUUCUUGUUAAACAUAGAGACAAAUGUGUCUAAAUGCCUAAAUGCAUGUGUGAAGGAUGAGACUUGAAUUUAGCAUAUGAGACUUGGGCAUGUAAACUUUGAUAGUUUGAAGAUGAUGGCAUAAAAGGAGAUGUUGAAGGGUCUACCAUCCAUUAUACUCUAAAUUAGUUGUGUGAAGGAUGUUAAGUGGGCAAGCAAUUCCCUAAGAUUUUUCUGAAGAAGUCUACAUCAAGAGCAAGUCAACCCCAACAAGAAAUACAUAUUGAUGUUUGUGGUCCUAUCAAACCAUUUUUUUGGUAAAAAAUUGUAUUUUUUACUUUUUAUUAAUGAUUAUAGUAUGAAAAACUUGGGUAUACUUCUUAAAAGAAAAGUCUAAUUGUAAUUUUAAUGAGUUUUAUGAAGAUCAUGAUAUAAAGAGACUCCUAACGGUGCCUAUAUUCCCACAACAAAAUAACAUGGUGGAGAGAAAGAAUAGAAGCAUCCUCAACAUGAUAAGAAGCAUGCUCAAAACCAAGAAGAUGCCUAAAUAGUUUUGGGCCAAAGUUGUAGAUUGUGCUAUUUACUUGUCAAAUAGGUGUCUCAUUAAAGGCUUGAAUGACAUGACUACAUAAGAAGCAUGAAAAUGAUCAAGUAAGGACCAAACUAGAUGAUAAGAGCAAAAAAAUAAUCUUUGUGAGUUAUGAUCAAAUAGAUUACAAAAACCAAAGUUAAUAAUGCCAUGCUUAUGACCUUGGUCAUGAGUUGGGCGGGUUAUCCCAGUUAGAGCCAAGUCAAUUCAAAAUGUCACUAUUUCAAUAUUUGUUUCUAUAAAAAAAAUGUUAAGCCGACAUCUUUUAAGAAAAAACUUAAAAGUCAAACUGAGUUUUAACUAGGUCGAUCCAGUUGUGAGUGCACCUACUAGAUCAACCGGGUUACACCAGGUCAACUCCCACAUGGAUUACUUUAAAACUCGGUCCAUACUAAAGCUCGGUCAAUGGAACACUAUUAUCAUAACCUAAUUUUUAUCCCCUUUAAAAAAUAAUUUUCAUCAUAAUAUUUAGUAGAUAAAAUUCGAUAGAUUUUCAAGAAAAAGACAAUUGUUGAAAAUUAAUCACAAUACAAAACAAAAUCAUAAAAAUGAAAGAAAAAAAGAAAAAAAUAAUUAAAGAUAAAAUCAAACAAAUAAUGAAUUUUCAAAAAGCAUGGACUAGGUUAUAGCAAUUACAAAAGGUUAAGGAUAAUUUUGAGAAAUAAUAAUGGAUUUGAUUGAAAGAAAAUUGAAUAAAAAAGUUGAAAUUGAUCAAAUUUGCAUGAAUUGAAAGACUUAGGACCAAGAUGAAAGAUAUGGAAAAGUUUGAAGGUCUUUUUAAUUUAAACAGUGACUUAAUUGAAGAAAUUUUGAUAUUUAAUAUCAAUUUAACUAAAAAUAAAAGAAUUAAAGGAUCAAGAACUAAAAUGUUGAAGAUACCUUAAUAGUAGUUUGAAUGCCACAAUAACACUCCCAAGUUGUAAAAUCAGUUUUGGUUUUGAAAAAUAAAACAACAAAAAUCAAUCAUAAAACAUGAAAUAUCCUCAAAAUGAGCCAUUCUUGUUAUGAAAACCAUAAAAAAGAUGUGUUUUUAGUUGUGUUGUUUGUCUUUAACCAAGCUUGGUCAUUAAGAGUUAAUAAUGAACAUAUCUUAGUAUGUUUUUAUUGAUGCAAUAAUUAAUAAAUAAAGUGCAUUACAUUUCAUACUAAACCAAAUAAUUCUUUUGGAAGCAACUUAUGGUUUUUUCAUGGUGGAAGUUGACCUAUUCUAAGCAUGAAAUAUUGUUGUUAUUAUGCAUGAGAAAAUAUGGUACGGAAAGUUUCUCUUCGUUAUUGGAACAAGGUUGGAUAUAACAUAUUGUGUGUAAAGCUGCUUUUGAAUCCUAAAUAUGUCAAUUUUCUAGGUUUCCAACCCAUUGUUUUGGUUAGAAAGCAUGUGUCAUUUGGUUUGGAGACUAUGGCAACUUAUGGUUAUCAUAAUCUAGAUUUUUUUUUUAUUCUUUUGAUAUCAUGUUUAACUUUGGAGAUUUAUAGUUCACCUUUCUAGGGUUUUUUUAGUUAUAGUGCACGCUCUAUUUGCUUAAUUCAUUAGGAUUUAUGCUAAAUAUACUUGAUUAUAAUAAACAUGAGGAAUUAUGGACUAGAUGCAUGUUUUGGUUAUUUAAAUGAUGCAAGCUUGAAACAUUUUCUUACAGGGUUAGGUUUGUUUAUCUAGGGUUUGUUGAUUAGGAAAGAAUUAGCUUUACUAAGAUUGUGUGCUUUAUGGUAAUCUUAGAUUAAACUUUUUGUUUUAAAAGAAAAAAAUCAACAAAAUCGUCUAUUUUUAAGGAUUAAUGUAUGUCAAAUUUAUCGAAGAGUCUCUUAUUCAUAGGGACCAACAUUAUUUUCUAAAAUAAAUCAUGAGUAAGCUUAGAAAUAUAUCUAGGUAAUUAAUAGCAUGUAUAGAAUAAAUUUAUGAGAAAAAACAUAGUAAAGAUAACUUUUUUUUCAUUUGAAAGGAUGUUAUAAGGGUGAUAUUGAUCUUCUCUUAAAGCAUAACUAACUUUGUAACUGAAUCUUUGAAACCGGUAUUAAUUUUAAAAUUUUUAGUUUUCUUUAUUUAUAUCAUGUAUUUAUCGUGGUAUAGAUCCCAUGAAAACAUACAACAUUACUUUAUAUAACAUUCAUGCGCGUCCCAUCCUUCUAAAGCAUGCACUAUUCCAGCCACACGCCAUGCGCUCAUCACUCUUCUUGGCAGCCAAUUCUGUCAUCAAGUAUUUUGCAAUACAAAUUAAUUAUCUUUCCUAAAAUAAGAAAAUAAUGCAAAUAGUACCUUAAAUUUCAGCAAUAUUUGACUAAUUAAUUACCUCGCAAGAGUCUAUAUUUUCAAGAGAUGCAGGGGCUGCCAUUGCUGGUAUGCUAUGAUAGAAGCAAUCCUUGCGCAAUUUCUUUGGGGGAAAUUGCGAGAAGGGAAUAAAUAAUGUUCCUUCUGCUGCUUUCUUUUGGUCCUCUUCUUUCAAUCCAUCACCAACUAACCACGUCUACACAACAAAGUUUAUUAUGAUAUUAGAAAUGUCAAUAUAUAUAUAUAUAUAUAUAUAUAUAUAUAUAUAUAUAUAUAUAUAUAUGCAUGCUACUUAAAUAAUUUAAGUUGUAAUUUAUUUUAUUUUUGACAAAAAAAAAAAUUAAUUUCUAAUUCCUUGGUAGCUAAAGAAAGCAUAUAUGUAGGUAUAGCGUACCUUUAUUGAAUAACUCUUUGAAAGAAUCAGAUUGUUCUGAUCAGAUGUGAUGCCGAAGGAUUUUUUAAGCUUCUGGUAAUCAUCCUCACAUGGAACAACUACCUAAAAAAUUAGUGAAAAUGAUCGUAAUAAUUAGGAAUUAGAAAUUAAAACAUGACCAUAAAUUAAAUUUGCCUAUACAAUCAAUUUAAAUAAAUUACUGUCAAAUUGAAGAAAGUUACAACAUGUGCCUAUUUGCCUAGUAGACAACAACAAUACCUAAAUGCCUAAAUGCAUAGAUGAAGGAUGAGACUUGGCUUUGUCAUAGAGACUUGGGCAUAUAAACUUUAAUAGCUUGAAGAUGAUGACAUAAAAAGAGAUAUUGAAGGGUUUACCAUCCAUUAUACAUCUAAAUUAGUUGUGUGAAUGAUGUUUAGUGGGUAAACAAUUUCACAAGAUUUUUCUGAAGGAUUAUACAUCAAGAGCAAGUUAACCCCUACAAAAAAUACAUGUCGAUAUUUGUGUUCCUAUCAAACCAUGUUCUUUCGGUAAAAAUCUGUAUUUUCUACUUUUUAUUGAUGAUUAUAAUAGAAAAACUUGAGUAUAUUUCUUAAAAGAAAAGUCUAAUGUGUUUAGUUUUUUUAAGAAGUUUAAGGCCUUUAUUGGAAAAAAAAAAAAAAGUGAUUAUUCUAUAAAACCACUUAGGACGGAUAGAGGAGUGAAUUUUGUUCUAAUGAUUUUAAUGAAUUUUGUGAAGAUCAUAGCAUAAAAAGACUCCUAACGAUGUUUAGAUCCCCACAACAAGAUGACGUGGUGGAGAAAAAGAAUAGAAGCAUCUUCAACAUGGCAAGAAACAUGCUUAAAAUCAAGAAUAUGCCUAAAUAGUUUUGGGUCAAAGCUGUAGAUUAUUCUAUUUACUUGUCAAAUUGAUGUCCCACUAAAAGCUUGAAUGACACGACUCCAUAAAAAGCAUGAAGAUAAACAAGUAAGGACCAAACUAGAUGACAAGAGCAAAAGGAUUAUAUUUAUGAGCUAUGAUCAAAUACAUUACAAAAAGCAAAGUUAAUAAAUUUAGUCAUGCUUAUGACCUUGGUCAUGAGUUGGGCGGGAUAACCCAAUUAGACCCAAGUCAAUUCAAAUUGUCAUUGUUUCAAUAUUUGUUUCUACAAAAAAAAAAAACAUGUUAAACCGACAUCUUUUAAGAAAAAACUUAAAAGUCAAGCUAAGUUUUAACUAGGUCGAUCCAGUUAUGAGUGCACCUACUAGAUCAACCGAGUUACACCAAGUCAACUCCCACAUGAUUUACUAUGAAACUCGGUCCGUGCCAUUUAAUAGAACACUAUUAUGAUAACCUAAUUUUUAUCCCCUUAAAAAAAUAAUUUUCAUCAUAAUAUUUAGUAGAUAAAAUUCAAUAGAUUUUCAAGAAAAAGAAAAUUGUUGAAAACUACUUAUAAUACAAAAAAACAAAUCAUAAAAAAUGAAAGAAAAAAAAAAGAAAAAUACAAUUAGAGAUAAAAUCAAACAAAUAAUGAAUUUUCAGAAAACAAGGACUGGGCUAGAGCAAUUACAAAAGGUCAAAGAUAAUUUUGAGAAAUAAUGAUGGAUUUGAAUGAAAGAAAAUUGAAGAAAAAUGUUAAAAUUGACCGAGUUUGCAUAAAUUAAAAGACUAAGGACCAAGAUAAAAGAUAUGGAAAAGUUUGAAAGUCUUAUUAAUUCAAACAAUGGCUUAAUUGAAGAAAUUUUGAUAUUUAAUGUUAAUUUAACCAAAAAUAAAAGAAUUAAAAGAUGAAGAACCAAAAUAUUCAGGAUGCUUUAAUAGUAGUUUGAAUGCUACAACAACACUCCCAGAUGGUAAAAUCAAUUUUGGUUUUGAAAAAAAAAACAGCAAAAAUCAAUCAUGAAAUAUCCUUAGCCAUUCUUGUUAUGAAAACCAUAAAAAAGAUGUGUUUUAAGUUUUGUUGUUUGUCUUUAACCAAGCUUGGUCAUUACGAGUUAAUAAUGAAGAUAUUUUCAUGUUUUUAUUGAUGCAAGAAUUAAUAAAUAAAGUGCAUUACAUUUCAUACUAAACUAAAUAAUUCUUUUGGAAGCAACUUAUGAUUUUUAAAUGGUGGAAGUUAACCCAUUCUAAGCAUAAAAUAAUAUUGUUGUUUUUAUCCAUGAGAAAAUAUAGUAGGGAAAGUUUCUUUUAUUUAUUGGAAUAAGGUUGGAUAUAAAAUAUUAUAUGUAAGGCUGCUUUUUAAUCCUAAAAAUAUCAAUUUUCUAGGUUUCCAACCCGUUGUUUUGGUUAGAAAGCAUAUGUCAUUUGAUUUGGAGAAUAUGACAAUUUAUGGUUAUCAUAAUCUAAGUUUUUUUUUUAUUCUUUUGAUACUAUGUUUAACUUGGAAUUAUAUAUUUUGGAGAUUUAUAGUUCAUCUCCCUAGGGUUUUUUUUAUGGUGCAUGCUCUCUUUGCUUAAUAUCCUUGAUUAUAAUAAACAUGAAGAAUUAUGGACUAUAUACAUGUUUUGGUUAUUCAAAUGAUGCAUGAAUGAAUAAUAAGAAGCUUGAAACCUUUUCUUAUAAGGUUAGGUUUGUUUAUCUAGGGUUUGUUGAUUAGGAAAGAAUUAACUUGACUAAGAUUGUAUGCCUUAUGUUAAUCUUAGAUUAAAUUUUUUGUUUUAAAAGAAAAAAAAUCAACAAAAUUGUUUAUUUUAAGGAUUAAUGUAUGUCAAAUUUAUCGACGAGUCUCCUAUUCAUAGGGACCAAUAUUAUUUUUAAAAAUAAAUCAUGAAUAAGCUUAGAAAUAUAUCUAGGUAAUUAAUAGCAUGUAUAGAAUAAAUUUAUGAGAAAACACAUAGUAAAGAUAACUUUUUUUUCAUUUGAAAGGAUAUGGUAAGGGUGACAUUGAUCUUCUCUUUAAGCAUAACUAACUUAGUAGCUGAAUCUUUGAGACCGGUAUCAAUUUUAGAAUUUUUAGUUUUAUUUAAUUAUGUCAUGUAUUCAUCGUGGUGUGAUAACUAUGUUAACAUACGAAACUAGGUUGGGUUUAAAAACAUUGUAAAAUAAAUCUCAUGAAAACAUAUAACAUUAUUUUAUAUAACAUUUAUGAUGGAAUCAGAUACCAGAGCAGGCAUAAAAGAAAGUAAAAAUAACCAUCAUAAUAUUCCAUUACUAAUUAUUUGUCCAUUGCAUAGAGAAAUAACAUAAUAUUAAUGGGUAGAGAUAACAUAUAUAGUAGUGGAUAACAUAUAUAUAUAUAUAUAUGUAGUUUGCAAUAUCAUGGAGGUGAUAUGCAACAUCUAAACCGUUUCAGGCAUGUAUAAUUAAUUAAGGCAAGGCUACCAACAUAAGAUAGCUAAAUAUCCAUUAGAAUUUUAAUGGAGUCUUGAUGACCAGAGGUUUGAACCCAUGUUGGAUACUUGCUUGCCAAACUUUGUCAAUGUCAGCCAUGGUAGAACCGCAUUCAUGCUCGUCCCAUCCUUCCAAGGCAUGCACUAUUCCAGCCACACGCCAUGCGCUCAUCACUCUUCUUGGCAGCCAAUUCUG
Molecule: long non-coding RNA, 72898 nt
Filed under: Populus trichocarpa (black cottonwood)
Lineage: Eukaryota; Viridiplantae; Streptophyta; Magnoliopsida; Malpighiales; Salicaceae
Description: long non-coding RNA (PTRI_LNC003340)
Source: RNAcentral